This 54992-nucleotide long non-coding RNA is filed under the name Zea mays. Its description in RNAcentral is "long non-coding RNA (ZMAY_LNC004710)". The record is from RNAcentral. Lineage: Eukaryota; Viridiplantae; Streptophyta; Magnoliopsida; Poales; Poaceae.
UUUUUUUUUGGUGAGAGAAAUGGUGAAAAAGUAGCAUUCAGGCAGGCUGUGUGAGCCACACAGAUGAUCAAAGGCCAACCACAACAAGACAAUUAUAACUCAAUUGCUCAAAAGUAGUGCAGAGCACACAAGAAAAAGGGGGUUCAGGAGAAGUCUGAAUAAAAUUACGUUUCCUUUGAUUGAUGCCUUCUUUAGCCUGUGCUGCAACAUCAUCUGAUCCUGAUGAGAGGCUUUCACUUUGAAAGGUCCGGUGGUUUCUUUCUUUCCAAACAUUCCACAUGAAGCCAUUGGUGCAGAUUUAUGCAGCAUAUAUUACCCUGAAAGUCCUUUUAUCUAUACUUUGCUUGUGUUUAACAAAUUCUGUGAUAGUGGAUGCGACAUUUUUCAGUAUCAGUAACUUUUGCCAAGUAAAAGGCAAUCAUAAUUUAUAGAUUCAUUGAGUUGAUCUUAUAUUGUACAACAAUGUUUUUUUCUGUUUAGUUACUGGACAGAAUAAAUCUUGUUUUUCAUCUUGGACAAAGAAUGUUUUUCAUUUAGAUACUUCGAAGAUCCUCGUUUUGUUAGCUUCAUUCACCUUGUUUUCUUAGCUUCAUUUAGCAAGUAGGGCCAAUAUGACACAAUGAUGUUGGGUAGCACAUCCUAUUAAUAGUUGUUGAAUUGCAAAAUGUUUGUGUAACAAAGGCACAAUGCUUAUAUUUUUGGGCAUAACAUUUAUAUUAUCUACCUUCAUUUCAUAUCUGCAAUAACAUCGCCCAUGUUUUAUUUAGAAGUACCACCUCAUUCUUUGCUCCAUUGUCUAUCACAAAAAAUGCUGACUUAGUACUGCAAGAAUCUGAUGUCAAAUUUUACAUCUAUAUACAAGAAGUCAAUAGUUUCUGAUUCCUUGGUGAUAUAAACCUUUUAUAUUUUAUAUUGUACGUACGAUCACUUAAAAGGUUAUCAUCAACCGUUUCAUCUUUAAAUUUAACUGAACAGUCUGGCAAAGAGGUAUCCAUAUGUGGUGGUGCGCGAGAUCUGAGAGGGGGCUGUUUAGUUUCUACUGUUAUUUUCACCUCAAUUCCCUCCAAUCACGAGUGGGGUUUGAAUUUUAUAAACUAGCCCUUACCUUGGUAUGAAACUGGCUGCACUAUUCUUGAUAUGCUUUUAUUCUACUAAAACUGCUACAAUAUAUAUCUGAUAAUUUCAAGCACACAAAAUUUUGUCCAAAAUCAUUGAGAUUACUUUCUCACGCACAAUGUAUCCACAACAUCAUAGCGAGUAGGGCAUGCCUUGCACUAUAUUGCGCCCAUAAAUAUGUUAUUGCGAGAAAUCAGUUAUGCAAUUUUCUGCGCAACAGAUCUGUUCAUUUUUUAUGAAAUCUUCUUAGUUGCCCUUGUUUUUGGCACCUGUAACAUUUCAUUCGCGUUUUGUUUUUAUGUUUUAGAGUCGGUUCGGUGACAAAGGAAUUGGAAAAGGAAUUGGAGGAGUUCCAUGGGAGGAAACCCCUUGCUAUUUAGCUUUGAAUAGUUUAUUUAAUUUUAAAUAGAAUGGAGUUUCCUUCCCAUAAAUCCCCUCCGCUUCUCUAGUCACCAAAUUAACUUUUCUUGGAGCUGGUUUGGUGGCAAUGAAAUUGGGGGAUUGAGGGAGAGCUUCCCUCUAAUCCCCUCCAAUUUUCUUGUCACCAAACCAGCACUCGGUAAUAUUUUUUCCCCAAAGGCAAUAGUAGUUCCGUCCCAAAGCAAAUCAACAGGAAAAAAUGUUUCACAGUGCUGAUCAUUGUGCUUCUAUUGGUGAAAGGAACAGGAGUUCCAUGCCCAACAAUUUCUGCUACAAGAAGAAAACUGGCAAAAGAUGAUCACAAAGAGCCCUACAGCCUGAUGCUCAGUCGAGCAAGGUCCUAGCUCUUUGAGAAAGGGAAAAAGAAAGAGAGGAUGGAUUGUAAUUGCAUCUCCGAAGAGGCUGCACUUAAAUAACAAUCGACUAAGAGGGGGAGACCAUAUGGAUAAAGUGCUGGAGACGGUCUAAGAGGAUGGCUUCAAUUAUGAUGGCUGAACCACUGAAGGAGCCAUGUUCUCCUCAGAUCGGCUGCUCCAGCAGAUGUCGCUGAGUGAAGGUCUUAGGCCCUUGCUGCAGAACAUCUCAUACUCCAGCGUGUCGCCUGCCGACUUCUUCACCUCGACGACGUGAAAGGCCGGUGUCACCUCGAAGAUCUCGGCGUCGAUCGCGAGCUGCCCCUUCCUCCCUUGCUUGGACCCCUGCAGCUUCACCAGCCCGUCCUGUUUUUUCACCAUGAAGCGCUCUGUCUCAGCGAUCUGCUCCAGCUUUGACACUAUCGCCGACGCCGGCUUCUGGGUCAUGAACCGCGAGUUGCUGGCCUUCUGCUCUUGGUCCACCUCGAACAGGCUUGACAGGUCGAACCCUCUGGAGUGGGAGAUGAUGUCGAACGCGUUCAGGCUCGCCGGCUUCAAGGAGCUGUCCGCCGGCUGUUCCACCUUGCUGCUGCUGUCCUUGUGGUCGGCGUUGCUGAAGGCGACCUGGACAUCCUUGAGGCUGCUGGAGCCGUGCGGCUGUGCCAGCAUGACGGCCGGCCUGUACCCCUUCUUGAACCAGGGGUGCUCGACCAGCUUCUCGAUCGUGAUCCUGUUGUUUGGGUUCGGUUCGAGGAGCUUGGGCAUCAACCGCCGGAGCUCAGGGGAGAACCACUGCGGGUACUUGACGUCGGCUCUGCUGAUCUUGCGGUACAUCUCCACCAGGUUGGCGUCGUGGAACGGGAGGUAGCCGGCGAGGAGCACGAAGAGGAUGACGCCGCAGGACCAGAUGUCGGCCUUGGCCCCGUCGUAGCCCUUCUUGUUGAUGAUCUCCGGCGCGACGUACGCGGGGGUGCCGCAGGUGGUGUGCAGCAGGCCGUCCUGCUUCUGGCACUCCCUGAGCGCGCUGAGGCCGAAGUCGGAGACCUUGAGGUUGCCGUGCUCGUCGACGAGGAGGUUCUCGGGCUUGAGGUCGCGGUGGUAGACGCCGCGGCUGUGGCAGAAGUCGACGGCGCCGACGAGCUGGUGGAAGUACCUUCUCGCGGCGUCCUCCUUGAGCCGGCCGCGGGCGACGCGGGCGAAGAGCUCGCCGCCCCGGACGUACUCCAUGGCGAAGUAUAUCUUGCUCUUGCUGGCCAUCACCUCGUGCAGCUGCACGACGUUGGGGUGGCGGACGAGGCGCAUGACGGAGAUCUCGCGCUUGAUCUGGUCGAUCAUGCCGACGCGCAUCACCUUCUCCUUGUCGAUGACCUUGAUGGCCACGCUCUCGCCGGACGCGAGGUUCCGGCCGUGGUACACCUUGGCGAAGGUGCCCUGCCCGAGCGUGCGCCCGAGCUCGUACCUGUUCAUGAGGAUGGUCGGCUUCUUCUCCAUCCUUUCCUUGUGUGGGUUCGUUGACGACGACGACGACAGGGACAGCUACAAUGGUUCACGGGCGUCUGCUCUGCGCCACUCCGUGCCUCUGACUUCCCCUCUCCCUGGCAGGCAGGGACGAGAGGAAGGAGAGGUGAACGAAGGGCGACAGAGCGGGCGCUAUGGUGAGAGAGGAAACCUAGACACGCGACUGAUCGAUGUGCUCAGGAUCCUCCUCCGACGGGCAACUUAACGGGGGGAGGAGAGAAGGAGCCCAGGAACCAGUCGAUCUCAUGUGAGGCCAGGAUUUGGUCUCUCUCGCUAGCUGGCUAAGAAUAGGAGGUACUGAGUGCUAUUUGUAGGAUCUCGAUCCCUGACUGGCUGAUGACUGACUGUUGAGUGAUGCAGCUAUUAUACAUGUGUCUCUCGUGAUGGAAACCGACGAUCAAUUGUCUAAGACGCCAUUGCAUAUGACUGACUGUUGAGUAAUCUAGUAGAGGUUAUGAAAAGUUGGCUGAAGCUCCUUGCUGGGAACUGCUUAUGGUAUGGUGUGCAGCAGCUGCUUACAACAACAACAUAAGAGAUAUCUGGAGCUUCUCGUGGCCAUGUCUGAUGUUUCUACUAAAGAAAGAUGUUAGGUUUUGUGUAGAAUAGUUUGGCGGGUGUGCAUGUGUACACAUGCACGUUCUUGUACAGUUUGGCCAUCGUUGAUCCAAAGAGAUAACAUGUACAUCAGUCGCAACAGUUCCGUUUCUAGAGCAAUUUAGUUAUGAAUGAAUCACGCACAGUACAUUCGUAGAUACAGAUGAUAGGAUACGAUACGAGGGAUUUAUUCAAUGCAAAGAGAAUAUGACAAGGUUUAGCACAAAGCAAGGAUGGAUGGUUUAAUCAUCAUCUAGAAAAAGAACAUCAGCACCUCCUUGAGCAAGGAGGGUGUAAUAGCCUCUCGUAGAAGGAAACAACACCAGAACUGAACAACAAGAUAAUCAUCACUACACUACUAUCAUCAUAAUUCUGACCAUUUCAUAGUCUAUACCCUCUGGUAACUUUUCCCUUCACAUCAAUUUCUUACAAGUAAAAUUAACGACAUGGGCACACUGCCACUUCAGCACUGCUGCUUAGGCGAUGGUUGCUCGGCAUCUUCGCAUUCCUCUUCUUUACAGGCCUUUAGAUAGUAGAGUUGCCGCCUUAGGUGCAAUAUCUGCCAGCGCAUAAAUAUUUAGUCACUGGUUAUUCUACCUGCUACAGCACAAGCUCAAGGCAUUCACAUUUACGGAAUAAUUAGCAAAUAUCUCCACAUUUAACCGAAGGAAAUGAAAACACAUGAUACCUAAACUAUCUCUCCAGUGAGACAAUAAGCCUACGAAUGAUGGGAAAGGCAAAAGAGAUGCAGCAUGAUUAUUUUACAAAAUUAACACUUCAGUGUGGAGGAAGAUGGUGCUUCUAAAACUUUUCAGUGUGUAUACAACUCAUAUGGGGAGACUAUCAUAUUCAUAUGGAACUGUGUUUCUAGUGUAAUCCGGUGUGAAGAGAAUGUCGAGCUUUAGAAGAAACAGACUAUAUCUAGAUGUAUCACAAUUCAACUAGUCACAGAGUUUCAACACCACAGAUCUGCCAAAUUUCUGCAGGGUGUGCUUGUUUGUUGUCUUUCUACGGUACAGUUUACCUUUGUGUCAAUGUUAUUUUGUUUCUAAUGGAAGCAACUGGUUUGUGAUUAGCUUUCACAACCAAAGUUGUAUAUGAUCCACUUGGCACGUGACUUGGUAGAGAUUUAGAUCUCCAUGCCAACAGGGGCUCUGUCCCCAAUCCCCAGCAUGCAGCCAUUGACCAAGGGUAUGUUUGGUUGAGGAGUGAAGGAGAAUGGAGUGCCUACAUUCCUAUUAUUUAGAUGUUUGGUUUCUAAAAAAAUAAGAGCGAAGCGACUCAUGGAGUCUCUAUAUGAAAAUUUAUCAUACAUAGUUGGAAUGCUCUCGCUCCACAAAAACGAUCGGAUGCGAGCGCUCUCCCGGACGCGAGCGCUCUCAUCCCCCUAUAUUCAUAUGACUCUCCAACCAAACAAAGAACAGAGUGGAUUCACUCUAUUCUACUCUUCAACCAAACAAAAAAUAGAACGACUCUAUUCUAGUAGCCAAACGCAUAAUAGAACGGCUCUAUUCUCAAAAACUAGAAUGGAGCUGAACCAUUCUAGUUGCCAAACGCAUCCAAACACACCUAAAGACUGUAAAGUGAAACAUGCACCAUUUUCCAAAGCACAAUUGACUAAUCAAUCCCAAUCCUUCACCCUCCACCCGUACUAGGCCAGGGUGGAUGAGGGUGAAUCGAAAACAGACCCUGCCCACCAUAGACCUCUAAAGCCUGACAUGACUUCCAUGAGAGAAAAUAACUGUGCACCUUUUUUUCAGGAAAAUACUACUACUAUGCGAGGAAGCAAAAGUAAACAAGUAAGCAUGCUUUGAUUUCGACAACAGACCUCUCGUUUCAGAUCAUCAGGUAGACUGUCUGUUGAAAUAAGAGUCUGAAAUUCAGCUUUGAGCUUCUCGUCUUUGAUGCCCAACCACGUGUUGGGAUGUAAAGCCAGCAGAAGAACAGUUAGAACAUCCACGCUUGAUGGAUAUUUGACGGCAUUGCUCUUCAAGUUUGAAUUGCAUGAACUGGCACCAGGUGAAGACAUUGGUAAAAGCAUAUCAACACCUUGUUCACUGCCUUCACAUACCACGGAGCCUGAGAUAACAGUCUUAAGCCCGUCACCAUUCGCUUGGACACAUUCAAAGCUUGUUUCUCUGCAGCAGAAGGCAUCUCUUGGCACAAGGUUACCUGAUAGCAUUGCAGCUCCCUGACAGCACACAACGGCUGCAAUCCUAGUAAGGGAAUCAUCUUCGCUCGACGAUGAGCAAUUAUAACAUGGUUUAUUAGCAUACUGCAAAUCAUGGACUAUGGUAAAUAGCCUGGUAUCACGAACUUGCUUUAGUACAUUUUCCUGCAAGUGAACACGAGAAGUGUAAGUGUGUUAUAUAAGGGAGGAAAAGUCUAACCCAGCAUCUGAAAAUGAAACAGAAAUCAGGAAAUGUCACCUUCAAGAAAAGCCUUUCUUUCUCCUCUUUGUUUAAGCUUGGUCCACCCUCCUCUUUUCUCCUGACUUCGACAACCCAUUUGAUCAAAGAUUCAGCGUCAGCUGGAAGAGACUCAAUUAAACGGGACAGAAGCGCUGGAACAUCGUCUAGGUUCCCUGCCUUCAGAAGACUCGGUAAAUCUUCAACACAAUAUUUUGACAUGCGUUUCCAGUUUUCAUCUCUGCAACUCUGCAGAAAUGAAAUUGCUGAGCAAAGAAAACUACAUCAAGUACCUCAUGUACGCAUAAUUGACAGAUUAUUAGUAUUUACCACUGUGUACAACAAUGAAGGGGCUGCAACCUUUCUUGAUAUAAGCAUGAACCUAUCAAACAUUAGGAUGCCAACAUCUUAAAAAUGGCAUGUUUAAAAGUCAAUAAAGACUACUGACCAAUUUGAUCAAACUGAAUUUUUUCUGAAUGUAUCGAGACGAAACAUCAAUGAAAAUUUCUGAAUGCAUAGACAAAAUGAUCAAGGGUGAAUGAGAGGAAGAUAGGCAAGAGUAGAUACCCUCUGAGAAGUCCAGUUGAGUCAUCAGUUGUAUUCAUGGCUUCCCAAAGAAGUUGCAAUGGAACCCAAUGCGGAGGAUAUUUGAAACGGGCGACAUCCAAGAUGAGCACCAUAUCCUGUCCGGCAUGGUAGCCACCAAUUGGGGAGAAAUGACCAGUUCCAGUCUGCACCAUUGCAAAAGGUGCACAUCAGUGAUGAUAUAUACAAAGAUAGUAGUUAUAUCCAAUCUAACCAAAUGUGUACAUGAAGAUUAAUUGGUGGUAGUACUGUAGUGCAAGUAAUCAGAAGAGCGUGACUAGGAGAAUUCGCCGGUGGCCCAGUGGGAAUGGAAAAUCUAGGGGGGGACGUAACCUGUCCGAAAGGCCGCCUGUGGUAGGAGGCGAUCAGAUGGCAGUCCUGCGAGGAGACGCAUCGGAUGAGAUGCCGCCGUAGGUCGUGGAUGGUAACCCGGUUGGUGCGGAAGGAUUGGACGUCGGCUCCGGAGCAGUGCGCGAGACAGGCGACCUUGCCGAAGGUGAUGCCCUCGGCCUUGACCUUAUCGAGGGGCUCGCAGCAGUCGAGCAUGGACUCGUCGAACCACCGCCAGGGCCCCUUCCAGCGGCGGCCCGGGUCGAUGGCGAGCGCGUUGAGCACGACGGCAAGGGAGGCCAGGCCGCAGAAGGCCGGCUCCGACUGCGUCUGGAAGACGGAGACCAGGGGGAAGAAACCCUCCAUGGUGCCCGCCGCCAGGGCCUCCGCGAAUAGGCGCUUGCCCUCCGGCGAAGCGAAGUCCACCGCCGGCGGCGACGGGAGGACCCGCCUGUACAGCGACGCCACGGCCGCCGCCAUCCUGGACCUGGACUGCUCGCUUCCUCCUCGACUGCGCUGUUGGCUUUCGCGUGCUGAUCUAGUUCCUCCGCGUGAACACAGCGGCGAUCGAGCCAGCGAAGGGUGCCUCCUUUCCUCUGCGAUGCUCUCUCACUUUCGUUUCGAAUCUCUGCAGACGACGACGGGCACGAUGGACGAGAGCCCACAGAACCCGGCCAGGAGUCAAACAAUGCUAAAUCCCAUUGCGUAGUUUCGAAUAUCUGCAGACGACGACGGCCACGAUGGACGAGUGAAAAAAGUUUCCAUGCAGCAGAAAAGUGACAGAAAGAAAACUGAUUUUAAACUUUUUCCUUUUCUUUUCUUGCCGAAAUCACGAACUGUCAACGGUCUAUUGGCAAGCCCAUACGAUGAAUCCUCUCUAUAAAAAAAUAAAUUUAAUAUUAAAGUGGAUAUAUGACUCGUACGCUUUCAAUGUGUAUAAAUUAAUGUUUUGCAUCAAUAACAAAUAACGUACAUUAUAAUUUAAGCAAAACGGGUUUAUCCCAUGAGAAAUAGGGAUCGGAAGUAAUUUCUUCCCCAAGCAUUUGUGGGAUCUAUAUAAAGAAAUUUUUCUGUCAUGAGAAUGAAGAUAUAAAGUUAUUCCUCGACGGAGAAUUCUCUAUUAACAUCCCUAAUUAAAUAUAGUCUAAUUACAAAACUAAUUAUAUAGGUAAUGACUAAACAAUAAGACGAAUAUAUUAAAUCUAAUUAGUUUAUGGUUCGUCUUUACGAUGCUACAAUAUUUAUUGGCUAAUCAUAAAUUAAUUAGGCUUAGGUCUUGUUUAAAUAGACUAGAGAUAAUAGAUAGUUGCUAAAAUUAGAUGAAGACAUCUAACAAUAUAGACGAUUGUUUAGCUUUUUGCUACUUUUAGCAAAAAUUAGCUAAUAGUUAGCUUGUUAUUUGUCAGCUAGCUAAUUUUAUAAACAAAAUUUUUAGAUAACUAAUUAUUAACUCUAGUACAUUCAAACACACGUCUAAUAAAUUUAUGCUAAAAUAUAAUAUAGAUUAAACUUUAGCCUCUCAAAUAAAAUACAUCUCAUAUCUUAAAUAUAUCACAUCAAUCUUGACCCAACAUCGUGUCAAUUCUCAUUUCCCUUGCCAGGCUUGCGCUGCAGCCUGCAACUGCAACCUGCUGCACUGCAGGUCAGCGGCCCUGGCCUGCCUCCGCGGGCGGCGGGCGCACGGGUGAGCACGUGCUGGCUGCUGCAUCCUGCCGCCGUGCCCUUUUGCCGCCUACGCUGCUGCCUUCAAAUGAUCAAAUCCGCCCUGUUGAGCAGAGGAUGGCGACGGGUGAAUAUGUGUCGGGUAGUACUAUUCGGUACCUAUAUGUAUUAAAAAAAUCUCUCCAUUAUAUUACUUAAGCUAUCUGCACUCAUACUACUCUAAAUUUCUACCCUAAAAAGAAUAUUCUGUCCUGAUCAGCACUCUAUACCACAAUCCCCCGCAUUCAUAUUCACUCUAUAUUCCAACCCUAUACCAACUACCGUAUAUUAUAUUAUAUUUUUCCCACUCCGCGUGCAUGCAUGUGCUGUGAACGGCCGCGUGCAUGCAUGUGGGCCCGCCUCCCCACCUCCGCGUGCAUGCAUGCAUCUGCCUCCGCCGGCUGCUUGCUUGCAUGCCUCGUUUAGCGCAUGUGCGUCCGAACUCUACAUUUGCAGCUCGAUCACGCGUAGAGUCUAGCACCCAGUCACCCGCUGCAGGUGUUUCUUUACGCUAUAUGGGAUAGAGUCCAGCACCCAGUCUUCCACUGCGGGCAGCCUUAUAUAUAUUCACAUGUAUAAAAUUUUACCUAUACCUAUAUCCGUACGGAUAAUUUUACUAGUCGGGUAACCCGUACCCGCUAAAAAGUCUUAAAUUCCAAUAUAUCAAUCAUUCAAAAUAUUAAAUAAACAUACAAAAACAACUUUAACUUCACAUAUAACAAAUCAUAUAAUUACAUAAUUUGGUAUCUAGAUAAAUGAUAGCUAGUGAAUGAUUUUAUUUUAGCUAAGAUGGUCUCUAUUAGAUGGUUAUAGUGAUAUUUGAUACAGAUAUAUUUUACCAAUGGAUAGACGGGUAUGGGUAGUACCAACCCGUAUUCGUCUACCCAACAGAUAGAGGUUUUUGUCCAUUAAUAUACCCGCGGCUAGAGAAAACAUAUCGUACCCACCUUCAUAUCGGGUAAAAUCUGUCGGAUAUUCAAGUUUCGGUUAUCCAUUGCCAUUUAGGGCCUUGGCUAGAAAAUGGGAACGUAGAAAUUUUUACGUGCUAGAUAGUUGUGGGAGUGUCAGAAUCUCAUUCUUUCUAAGAACACCAUGGAAGGUAUGGAAUUUGGCAAUUUGUUCUAUAGUACAAGUUGGUAGGCUUGAUAGUUUAACUAUCUAUUUGCAGGUCGCUGAUAUUGUAUUUAAUGAAUUUGCUUGACAUCCCAAGGUCUAUAUUUGGAAUGGUGAAGGUACAAUCUGAAGACUAGCUUUAAGUUGUUCAGUAUUUAUGCUUUUUGCUCAACUUGUUGAACUAGCAACUAUUUUUACUUCUGCAGAACCUAAACCUAACAAGGGACAUCUUGCAUGGGCUGAUGCUUUUGUCAUAACACCAGACUCGAUAAGUAUGUUAAGUGAAGCAUGCAGCGCAGGGUAAGCUAUUGUCUUAUUAGACUGAUGACUUGCACGUUGCAACCUUUUUAUGAAGUUUCAAGAGUGUGAAUAGCUUCAAACUGUUUUGGCGCACUAGCAAUAGCAUUAGUUGCUUUUGAGUUCUAACCAAACAGGACGAACAGAGUAAAUGUUUCCACAAAUUCCACUAAACAUGAUUUCUGUAUAGACAUCAAUUCACGUAAAGUGCAUAUCCUGUUUGGUGUUUUCUUGGGGACAAUGUAAUUUUUAGCCGACCAAUAUAAUGAAUGCAUAGUACCAAAAUUUGAAAAGUAUAGUAAUGUUUCUAUUUCUUUUGUUAAAUAAUAGUUAGUAAGGAUUUCUGGCUGGGAUGCAACCCUUUUUUUGUUGGGGACUGGCAUUGAGGUUGUGGGUUUUUUUACUUUCACUUGCAUAGCUAUCGGCUGGUUUAUUUUUGGUGCUACAGGUGUUUGAUGUAAUCACUCUGUAGGUGUGCACAUUAAGCUUGAUACUGAAGAACGUCGCGUCGCUGUUCAUGAAUAAGGAUUCCCUCAAGGUUGAAGCUGAUACUAGGCUUGGGGAGCUCAUAAAGUAUUGUCGGAGAGGAAAUCUCCCCGGCCGGGUGACGGAUUGCACCCGCCCUAAAUCCUAAAAAGAGGAGGGGCCUAAGCGUUUUGCUUGUUACGAGACUAGUGGAUCAACACACGGGAGCACGCAAGGGUUUAGAGUGGUUCGGGCCACCGGGGCGUAAUAUCCUACUCCACUGUGUGAUGUAUUGCUCAGGAGCUUGUAUGAACUUGUGAGUGUCUGCCUAAGAUUGGGUCUCCCUUGUAACGCUGCAUGCCUCCCCUUUUAUAGCCGAAGGGGGCAUGCACAAAGGUACUGAGCCUCGACAUAUGGGCCCAGGGACAUAACGAAUAUCGUACUUGGAGCCACAAAUGUGUGCUGCUGGGGCACUCUUCUUGGGCCCCGACAUCUGAGAUCUGCGUAUCCUUAGCGUGCAAGGGAAGCUUCUUGUAGAAGGGGUGAUGAGUACGGUGCGCCGCUCGGCACGGGCGCACUAUUCGCCAAUAGACUGGUCAGGCACGCCGCCUGCUGGGUGACCCUGACGUCGCCUGCCAGUGGAUUGGACAGGACACAUUUAAUGCUGGGAGGGCACACCACCCGUUAGCGUGGUGGCAGGCGGCGCGUCCUCUCUGCAAUAAAUGCAGAGACUGCACGGCUUCAUGGGUUUUACGUCAGGCUCAGCCCGUCGGCUUACGUCGUGGGCCUCAAGCCAGGCGGUAAUAGUGGGGAGCACAGGGAAGGCCUGGACACGUGCCAGCACUGGACCCCUACUCAUGGCUGGGUCCUUCUCGUCUCGGGACCCUGCCAAGGCUCGGACCUCUCCUAAAGGGGGAUCGGGAUCCUCCCAAGGGGCCCGGCGUGCCUUCUUGGGGGCUCCGGACUUGUAUGCAAAGGGGCCCGGCGUCCCUCUGAGGAGGUCCGGACCCUGCGUUGAAUACCUGGAAUAUAGUUCCAUUCCUUGUCACGUGGCGCCCUUGGACCUGCUCAUGCGGUAGAGUUGGGUGCCACCCUCGGCGUGCCUUGGGGUGUCGUACGGGCGCGGCGCCUUCAUGCUGUAGAAGAGGGUACCCCUGAUCCAGGGUACCGACAGUGGCCCCCGGGCCCGCCUCAGGGGAGGAUGUGAACCUGCAGGCAUGGCUAGAGUCUGAUUAGCACUCCUACACGCCUGUUGACGUAAUUACUACCGACCUUCUUAUGGUCAUGCCGACUACCGCGCCUAUUCCCACGAUUGAUUGGCCCGUGACCUUCACACUUAAUAUCACUGCUGAGCCAUGCGGGAUUCCUCGAGUCGUUGUACUGGCUCUGAAAACUUAUCUUUUCAGUCUGCUGUGACGGUCUCGAGAAGACGUGGUAUUGGCGCAAGUGGCGGUGCAAUUUUUUUCGCACCCAGUAACCGGUGCGUCGGUUGUAUGACAUGUGGGUCUGGGCCCCCAUGUUGGACCGCCAGUUGCAGCGAAGGUGUGGGGGUGCAUAACCGUGGGGCGGUUGCACGCUUCCUGCGUGGUGGUUCCCCCUUUCGACCGCUGGUUUCGGCGAAGAUGAGGGAGCGCUUAACCGCGGGGCGGUUGCAUGGUCCUUGUGCGGCGGUUCGCCUUCUUCGUGCUUCGGAUCAGUCUGUAUGACAUGUGGGGGCCUGGCCCCAUGCCAUAGGGUAGGAACCCUGGAGACCGUCGGGGGAGACUGCCCAUGACGCUUCGGGGCGCGAGUGGGGAGAUCUGCCUUUAAAAAGGGACCGAUCUCCCGGGUAGUAGCCAUGCCUUGCUCCUCUCGCAUUCCUUGCGCCCUUCCGCCUCCCGGGCCUCCGGAUGGGGUGCGCUGGUGUUUUCUGGAGAGAUCCGUGUCAGGGCCGUUCCCUCCAGCGCUCUCACCGCUGGAGAGUUCACACUCGUGGUGGUGCCGGCGGUCCUGUUUUCUUCUUGCUGCUGUUAGAGGAGCACAACCCUGUGGUGGUUGGUGCUCUUUCGCCAUUGCUCGGCUUCAAGGAUUUUCAUCAUGCAGCCCGACUGCAGUCCCCUGCCAGUGGCCAUCCAGAAGGAUGACCACCAGCCUCACGGUGGGGAGAAGCAAGCCGGGCUGCGGCUUCCCCCCAGCUUCAGCUUCAAGGAUGUUCAUCAUCCUCGCUGGAGUGGAGGGCGAGCCAAGUCGGGGCCCUGCCCUCCGCGUGGGCUGGUGACCCGCUUCUUCCUCCAGCAUUCGGAGGAGAAGGGUGUUCACCAGCCUUGCGGAGGAGGCGAACCUUGGCUACAUGGGGCCGGCUGGCUACAGGCUGUCAGCUGCAGCGUGUCCGGCCCUUUGGGCUGGAUGGUUUCGGCGCUGCCUCCGACGCUGCCUCCUGCCGCUCUGGCCGGGGCGUGGCUGUCCGUCCACCGCACGGGCGCGGUCGUGCCGUGCGCGGGUCCAGCACAUCCACCCCUUCUCUUGCCCGUCGGCCGCACUGGGGGGAUCAUACAAUAUGUCGUACGCCGCGGCGGUGGCGGCGGCGUUCUUGGAUGGUCUUAUCCUCACUCCCGUUGGUCAGACAGGAGCGAGGACCCCUUCGUGCGUGCUGAGGCAGCCGUCGCCCACCGGUGUAGAGGUGGUCACCGCCGCUGGUGAGGCUACCCCUUGCAGAGGUGGUUGCCUCCGCCGGCGAGGGCAUCAGAGCCAUCUGUCGCUGAGUCCCUGACUCUUUGGCUUUAAUGGCCUCGUUGUCACCCCCCGUAGGAGGACGGGGGCGAGGACCUUUUCGCAGUGGCGCUCACCCUGAGGUGGUCGUUGUUGCUGGCAAGCCACACGGAGCAGAGGUCGUUGUCGCUGCUGGUGCAGAGAUGGUCGCUGUCGUCGGCGAUCCGUCGAUGUAGAGGUGGUCGCCGCCGUCGGUGGGGCUGUCUAGGGUCAGCUUCCAUCGUGACUCCUGUUGAUGCAGCGUAAUCCAUUCCUGCAGACAUGGAGCUAGGGUCCCACUUGUAAGGGAAUGUAGCAAAUAUGUCUGCUUUUAAAUGUAGAAUGUAAUAACAUAUGUACGCAGGGUUUUUGUCCUAGGGAGCCAAGUUGUGUGUCCGGACCCCCUAGAUGGUGGUUCUAGGUACUAGGGCACCUAUCGCAGGGUGGUGGAGUGUGCAAGCUCACGGUACGGGACCAGGCUGAGUGGCUACGUGGCUCCGGACCACCCCAGGAGACAAGCAUCGCUUCUCUAGUUCUGGACCCCAAGUUGUCGGACACACAGGACUUAUAGUUCCAAAUACUAGGGCACCCGUCACGGAGUGAUGGAGUGUGCAGGAUUUCGGGUACGGAACCAGGCUAACCGGCCACACAGACUCGGGACCACCCCAUGGAACGGGCAUCCGUUCUUUAGAACCGGCCCCCAGGCUUUUUCCUGUUUUUUGUAAGGUACUCCUGAGUAUUAUUUAUAAAGCAGUGUUAAUACUUAUUUGUGUAUCACUCGCUCUUGUUGUUGACUUCCCUUGGUACCUGGCCCCCCGCCUGGGGUGCAGGCUCGAUGUGUCGAGGUUGGGCACCAGCGUAUAUGAAAGAAUUGUCAACGACUUUCAGGAGGUAGCCCCGCCGAGACCUGUAUCUAUACACAGCUUUAGCUCAAAGAGCGUUAGUGAUACACCCGUAGGCCCCGUCAUCUGGCAUUAUUCAUCCUUUGACUCAUGCUCGGGAUUUGUAGUGUUUAGACUGGGGGAACCAAGUUGUGUGUCCGGACCCCCUAGAUGGUGGUUCUAGGUACUAGGACACUUGUCACAGGGUGGUGGAGCAUGCAGGCCCACGGUACGAGACCAGGCUGAGCGGCUACACGGCUCUAGACCACCCCCAGAGACAAGUGUCUCUUCUCUAGUUCUGGACCCCAGGUUAUUGGACCCACAGAACUUAUAGCUCCGAGUACUAGGGCACUCGUCACAGAGUGGUGGAGUGUGUGGGGUUUCGGGUACGGAACCAGGCUAACCGACCGCAUAGGCUCCGGACCACCCCAUGGAAUGGGCACUCGUUCUUCAGAGCCGGCCCCCAGGUUGUCGGGCCCUCCUGCUUUCGCAUAGAGGUCCUAAACUGCAAACCUGGCUGUUCAAUCCAUAUGUCACUAUGCCUGAUGGGAUGGGAGCUGGUCGGGUGGGUUAGCUAAAAUAUAAUCCGGAAACUGCAGGAGAAGACCUUGGGGCAGUAGGAUAAUACUAUCAUAGAGGCACAUCUGAGAGGGUAGUUUUUCUUUUAUAACUUAUCAUGCAUGGGUGCGGACCAACAGACCGGGUUUAUGGGGGCAGACCCCACCGGGUUGGCGUACACGUAUGCGUUACCUAGUUACAAAAAGGAAACACUUCAACCCCUCAGACUUGCUCUAUUGAUAAAACUUACAGAGGUGUUUCGGCACCGGGGAAAGCUCUCCUUCAGUCGUAGCUAGAUAGUCACCCUCGGGUCGGAGUAUUCCCGUUACCUUGAAGGGUCCUUCCCAGCUGGGGGAGUGCUGCGGAGCCCUAAUUCGGUUUGGUACUUCCAUAAGAUUAGGUUCCGACCCUGGGUCCCCAUCUGCGUUUGACGAAGGAGGCCCCGCCUUUGGCUGUGGUCAUUCAUGGAUGAACCUGUCAGAAAUCUGGACCUGUGGGGAGUCCAGAUGGGUUUUCGGAGGAAGGCGGGCUUCAGCUCCGUAGGUCGGGGGACAUGGGGUCCCGCCGGUGGUCCGUCUAGUCGUCGCCAUCGGAGUGGGAGUCUUUUGCGAAGACGUCCUUCAGGUCCCCUUCGGGUGGCUGAUACCCGAGGUCCUGUUCAGCCGCAGCCACCUCGCCGUCGUUGACCUUUUCCUUGCCAGGACGGCGGCGAGGCGGGGAGCCGUCCUUAGAAGACUGCUCACGUUGCUCGCUGGCGCGUUCGCUGACGCGCUUUGCGAGAUCAAUGAUCUCGCAACACUCCGCGGCGUUGUGGCGACCGUUGGGGUGUACAGGGCAUGUGCCGCUGUUACCCUUUUGCGGCUGUGGGCGUUUGUUGCGGUCGCCCCGGCCCCCGGUCACAGCUGCGAUGACCAGCGCGGUAGACUGCGGCCUCUCGUAGCUGCGACCCUUCUUUUUCUUUCUGCCGUCCCGGGGGAUGGCACCCGAACCACCCGUCUGGGCGGUCCCAGUUUGUGGGGCCGAGUGCCAUGCCCAACCUUCAGCGGCUCUGGCACACUUGUCCGCCAGGGCGAAGAGCGUGGGGAUAGUCUCCACGUCAUGUGUGGCUAGCUUCUCCAACAACUUCUUAUCACGUACCCCCUGACGGAAGGCCGUGAUGAUGGAGGCAUCGGAAAUACGAGGUAUAGUACCUCGUACCUUGGUGAAGCGGGAGAUAAACGUCCAGAGGGUCUCUCUGGGCUCCUGCCUCACUGCGUGUAGGUGGGCCUCCACGCCAUGUUGCUGGUAAGCGCUGGCGAAGUUCGCAACGAACCAUGCGCAGAGCUCUUCCCAGGUGUAGAUUGACCCUGGGGCGAGGUUCAUGAGCCAAGUCCGGGCAGGCCCAGACAGGGCGACAUGAUAAUACGUCGCCAUCACAGCGGUGUUUCCACCUGCUGCCGUGAUGGCGGUGACAUACACCUGCAGGAACUCCGACGGGUUUGAUGUUCCAUUGUAUUUUUCCGGCAGGUGUGGCCAGAACUUGGGCGGCCAUGACGCCGCGCGUAGGUGGCCCGCGAGGGCAGCACAACCUGCCCACGCCGGCCAAGGGGACACCCGUUUGGGACUGGGCGCCCAUCAGUGUCUGCGGUGCUGUCGCAGCAAAGUCUUGAUCGAGGUUGCGACCCUUGAUGUUCUAGCGGCGCUCACACGUCCUUUCCAAAGAGAUCCGGGCGUCCUCUCCCGUACGCCUACGGUUGAGCUCUGCCUGGAGGUCGUCGGUCUGUGCACCCCUCACGGAGGGCGAGUGCAUAGACGCUGUCGCCUCGCGUUGGCGUCGGGAUGACCGAGGCCUCGAUCUGGUCGAAGUAGAAUGUGCCAUGCCGAGUAGUCGGUCGACGUCGUCACGCCACUGCUUCAUGGCCCCCGGCGAGACCGUGGAGCUAGGGGGUGGCACAACAACUCCCUGGCUGCAGACAACACCGUAGGCGCUGCCCUUGACAGAGUCCGGGACGCUUGUGCAGGCGUGUGCUGCUACACGGCGUGUACAACAGCAGUCCCAGUGUCAGGGCGGUCGGGCACUCGCUGCACAGAGGAUACAACUUCUUGCUCCAUCGUGAAAUCCUCCGAAGUUUCGGCGUGGUGCUCGAUGAUUCGCACCAUCAUGCUGAGCGAGGAAACAAGCAAAAACUUCAAGCCUAGCCCCCUACCUGGCGCGCCAAAUGUCGGAGAGGAAAUCUCCCCGGCCAGGUGGCAGAUUGCACCCGCCCUAAAUCCUAAAAAGAGGAGGGGCCUAUGCGUUUUGCUUGUUACGAGACUGGUGGAUCAACACACGAGAGCACGCAAGGGUUUAGAGUGGUUCGGGCCGCCGGGGCGUAAUACCCUACUCCACUGUGUGAUGUAUUGCUGAAAGGGAAAUAGGCUUUAAACUGUUUCCUAAAUGAUUUUGGUGGUUGAAAUGCCCAACACAAAUAAUUGGACUAACUAAUUUGCUCUAGAGUAUAUGUUCUACAAGUGCUAAAGGUUCAACUCAAAACCAAUACAAAGAUUAAAAAGGGUUCAGAAGAAAGGAGCAAAGGAAAUCGAAGUGUUCCCUGGUCUGGCGCACCGGACGGUCCAGUGUGCCGGACAGUGUCCGGUGCGCCACCAGACAGUGUCCGGUGCGCCAGGGAGGAUCAACCUCAAACUCUUCAGCUUCGAGUUUCCCAGGCGCAGCUCCGCUAUAAUUCACCAGACCGUCCGGUGGGCCAGCGGAGCAACGGCUAUCUGCACGCAACGGUCGACUCUGGCAGUGAACAAUGCAGCACAGUGAACGCGGCAGAAGUCAGAGCAGUUGGUCAGAGGGGCACCGGACUGUCCGGUGUCACACCGGACUGUCCGGUGCCGCAUGAGGACAAAUCCUCCAAUGGUCGACCAGCUCCAAGCCCUAACGGGAGGAUGACGUGGUGGCACACCGGACACUGUCCGGUGGUGCACCGGACUGUCCGGUGCGCCCAUCGCCAGCAGCCUUCUCCAACGGCUACAAUUUGGUUAGUGGCUAUAAAUACCACCCCAACCGACCACUUCAAAGGGGGGGAGCCCAAGCAACAUUACAAGUCAUCUAGUUGACAUAUUCAAGCCCUCCCAAUCACCUCUAUUCAUUGAUCCAUCCUAUACACAAGAUUUAGAUCACUACAACCAACACAAGGGCCACAAAAGAGAAAGCAAGCAAGAGAGAGCUACUCAUUUGAGUUUAGCGCUAGUGCCUUGUGAGAUUCAUUGAGAGAUAGUGUGAGCUACAUCUUUGUGUUCAUUUGCGCAUGGAGUUUUGACUCCCAUUGAACUUCCUCCAAAGUUUUGGAGGCUUGUAAAGCUAGCAUGAGACACCAAAGUGUGUGGUGGUCCUUGUGAGGUCUUAAGUGAUCCUUGAGAAGAAGAAGAGCUCGCCGGUCUUGCGUGAUUGGUGGAGAGAGGGAAAGGGUUGAAAGAGACCCGUCCUUAGUGGACUCCUCAACGGGGACUAGGCCUUCGAGGGCCGAACCUCGGUAAAAUAAAUCACCCGUGUCUCAUGUGCUUAUUGCUUGUGAUUUUUUUGUUCUUUCCUUUCUAAGUUUUUCUUGCACUAUUCGUUACUAAUAUUAUUUGGUGUUGCUUUAAGUUAAAUUCUCAUUUAGUGAAGCAACACAUUGCAAGAAAGAACUUGUGUCAUUGCUCUUCUUAUCUAAGCCCCUUUGCUUUAUUCUCAUAGACCUAUUAGUUGUAUUGUUUUAUCAAUUCCGCAUUAUUUGAAAGCAAUACUCUUUACAAGCAAGGACUUAGUUUUUAUACUUCGAUAUUUGUAUAUCUUGUUCUAACCACUAAUCAAGGAACUAGUUGGGGGAUAAAGUUUUAAUUUUCAGGUUUCGCCUAUCCACCCCCUCUAGGCGACUUUCAAUUGGUAUCAAAGCUAGGCACUUCAUAUUGAGUCUAACAAGUCGGAGUGAUGGCUCGAAGAAGAUCCUAAAAGAACAAGAAGACAACUCCGAAGGAGGUAACUCUUGAGAUAUUACUUCCCGAUUGUUCUAAUUAUGUUUCAUGGUCUACUAGGGUGAUAAAUGCUUUUAGAACCAUUGAUCCACAAUUAGAACAAAUUUUAAACAAGAGUAUCAUUCCUUCUAACUAUGCUAGAGAAAAUGCCUCUGAGGAAGAUCUUAGAUGUAUACGCUUAAACUAUCUAGCUUAUGACAUCUUAAGUAAAUCCCUUAGCAAAGAAGAUUAUCAUGCCUUCAUAAUAAAAUAUGAUAAACCUAUUUGUGAUGUGCAUGAUAUUUGGACUAGAAUUAAAAGCAAAUUUUAUGAGUCCAAACAUGGUAGUUCAUUUUGUGCUUCUACUUCCUUUGGUCUUUGUGAUACUAACCCUUGCAAGGAAGAAGAAGAUAAUGACCGAUGGAGACCAAAUGAUGAAUCCACCUCUCCAAGAGGUUUGUCUUCCUAUUUUGAUUCCCACAUAUGUUGUGUGGCUAAUGAAAAUGAUAGCGGAAGCACAAACGAGGAUGAGGAGGAAGAGAGAAGCUUCAUGCAACUCUAUGCUCACCUAAGCCAAGAAGAUAAGGCGGUCAUGCUCAAACUUCUAGAAAGAGCAAGAGAGCAAAGCGAAGCUCGUCAAAGGCUAGAAAAUGUCCUCUCCAUGAAAAUGCUACACUUUGACGAGUUGACUAAAGAACAUGAGGAGCUAAAAUGCUCUCAUGUUGAUUUGGUCCAAAGGUAUGAAACUAUUUCAAUUGAGCAAGAUAACACUUUACAUUGUAUCGCUCAAUUAGUAAAUAGGAAUGCCUUGCUUAAGGACCAAAUAGAAAAGCUAAAAGAUGAAAAUCUAGCUUUUCAAGAUAAAUAUGAUAUGCUCCUAUGUUCCCAUGAAAAUCUUAUGGAUGAUCAUAUCAUAUUAAAUAUUGCUCAUGAGGUUGUGAUAGAAAACCUAAAAUCCCAACAACCUCACUCAUGCACAUGUAUUCAAAUUAAAAUUACAUUACCAUGUGCUUAUGCUUGUAGUCUGUCAACAAGCAAAUCUUCCUUUGAGCUAGAAUUUGCAGGAACAAAUGAUGAUACAUAUCAAAAGCUCAAAGAAGAAAAUGAGAGGCUAAAAAUGAGCUUGACACAACUAAAAGGGAAGUGCAUUGCUCAACCUUCUCAAGAUAACCAUGAUCACAUGGUGAAAAAGCUUGAGACGGGAACAACCGUAGCAUGUACUAAAUCCCUUGAAGAAAAUGUCAAGGACUUGAGGAUUGUAAAGAGGAAGGAACAAAAGAAGAAAAUCAAUACUUCUUCCAAAAGCCUCAAUCACGCCUCCAUAAAAGGUAACAUCCAAGGUAAUAAUCAAGUCACACUUCACACUAAGAGAAGUAAGAAGUGUAGUGAAUGCUUUGAAAAGGGGCACUCGAUUAGGUGGUCCCUAUAUUAAAAAAGACUUGAUUAUUGACAAGGAUGAUAAAGUUUGUUUUAAAUGCUCCAAGAAGGGACACUUAUUUAGAUCUUGUCCCCAUUUAAAACAAAAAGGCAUAAUGUUAGAAAAGAAAAUAUUUACUAACCAUGUAGCAAGCAAGAAACAAGGAAGGAAGAAAUCUUCAAGGCUUGAAGAUCGCCUAUGCUACAUAUGCCGAAAGAAGGGACAUCAAUGCAAAGAUUGUCCCAAUGGUAACAAUCCCACUCCUAGCUUGUCAAUUAUUUCUCAUAUAACUAGGCAACCCAAAAUUGCAACAUGUGCUAGAAAGGUAAUGAGUUUACCUAGUGCUAACACAAAGGACGUUUGGGCUCCUAGAUCUUUAUUGACUAACCUUGAUGGACCCAUCAAGAGAUGGGUACCAAAAUAUGCUUGACAAGCUUUGCAGGAGAAGGAGAUGAUAUGAAGCUUUGGGGUGCUUGAGAAAGUUAAUUCAAUUUAACUCAAGCUAUCUUCAAUGAUCUAUAUAUCCAAGAUUGACCCAAAGUUAUUUCAAAUUGUUAUGUCUAAAACUCAUAUCAUCUCGGGGAAGAUAUUGAUGUUGUAGGAAAUAAAGAAUUAUCUUGUGCGGAAAAAUCAAGGCCUACAAUAUGGAGGAAAGCCGAAGGAUGGUAACACUUGUGUCUUUGAGUGCAAGUAUCUUAAAUUAUGAUUUCUCAUGUGUCUUGUGUACUCGCAUAGAAAAAGAAGCACCUCAAAUGUCUCUAAAUUUAUAUUACCAUUCUUUGAAAAAUUUCCUCUCAUAUGGUAGAUUGCAUACUCAUCAUUUCCGUUCUAUGGCAAUCUACAUGCUUUAAGUUGUUGCAAGUAUCUCAUGGCAUGUUUUUUGCUAAUCAUUCUAUUAUUGCCAUGAUUCUAGAUAUAGAGAGAUAUUUCAAGUUCUUAAAAGAAUAAGGUGUCAUGUAAGGAAUUCAAAUCCUUAAGGACACUUAUAAAAGGAAAACUCUCUCUAUAACUAGAAUAGUGAGACUAAUGAUUUUAUCUAAGUAACCCAAGUAGUCUCACUUGUAGAGAAUAAGUUUCUCUUUGGAAGCGUGUAAUCUAACAUAAAAAGAAAAAUCAAUCCAAUGAUUUAUGAUGUAUUUCUACUUGCUUAAAUUGGAUAUGAUUCUUUCACAUUUAUCGCUUUUCAUAUCAUGAAUUAGAUUUAUUCCUGUAAUCUUAAAGGAUUAUUUAUGCUUAUUUUAUGAGUUAAAAUUGAGCAUAACAUCAUCUAUAGGAUAAUCUAGUUCAUGCUAUGAAGUCUCCAUGUUUUAGUAAUCUAGCUUUUCAUUCCUUAUCAAAAAUGACUAUAAAAAUGGAAACUAGUGCUUGUGUUACUAACAACGUAUCUCUUGAGUCUACUUAUGAAUAUCUACAAAAGAGAAAGUGCACAAGCCUCAAGGAUUGCUCUUCACCCAAAGGAAGAAAGGUAAAAGCAAAGGUAUGGGAACUCUCUUUCCCAUCAUUAGUUAAUUGCUCAAAAUUAUGAUAUUCUAUCCAUGUGAAGAAUAGAUUCUUUAUUGGACUUAAAUUGACUGGGUGUACAUUCAAUCUCAUCCUCAUAAAUGCACAUGUCCAUUAGAAUCAAAUUCAUGCCUUUGCUAUAUAUAUAUAUAUAUACGUUCUCAUAUUGACUUGCUUCCAAGUAAUGUUUACUAAAUUCAAUAUGAAGAAGUAAAAUUCCAAUGAUUGAUCAAAACGUUUAAAAGGUGCAUAUUCCUCUUUCUCAUGAAAUGCACUAAUGUUCACCAAGAUGGAGUUGGUGGAAGGCGAACUGGGAAGGUUCGCAAUGAUCAGGGGAGAGGAGCCAACGCAAACGUACAACAGGCUCAAGACCCUGGUCAACAAGAUCAGGAGCUAUGGAAGCACGAGAUGGACGGACCACAACGUCGUCCGACUUAUGCUCAGGUCCUUCACUGUUUUUGAUCCUCAUCUUGUGAACUCAAUCCGUGAGAAUCCUAGGUACACAAAGAUGACACCCGAGGAAAUACUCAGAAAGUUUGUAAGCGGGCGUAUGAUGAUCAAGGAAGCAAGAUACGUUGAUGAGGCAUUGAAUGACCCAAUGCCCAUCUACGAGCCUCAAACCAUUGCUCUCAAAGCAACAAGCAGCAGGGAGGCGCUACCUAGAAAGGUGGCACAAGUUGAGGUGGCCAGGCUAAACGAGGAUGAAAUGGCCCUCAUUAUCAAGCGCUUCAAGACGGCGCUAAAAGGACGCAAGGAGCAUCCCAACAAGAGCAAGACAAAGGGAAAGUGUUCCUGCUUCAAGUGUGGUAAGACUGGUCACUUUAUUGCUAAUUGUCCUGAUAAUGAUAGUGACCAGGGACAAGAAAAGAGCGGGAAGAGGGAGAAAAAGAAGUCCUACAAGAAGGCGAAGGGCGAGGCGCACCUUGGCAAAGAGUGGGAUUCAGAUUGCUCUUCGUCCAACUCCGACGACGAAGGACUCACCGCCUCGGCCUUCAACAAGUCGUCUCUCUUUCCUAACGAGCGCCACACCUGCCUCAUGGCAAAGGAGAAAAAGGUAAGCGCUCGAGAUACCCCUACGUAUGCUUCUUCAAGUGAUGAUGAAUCUAGUGAUGAUGAAGUAGACUACACAAGUUUAUUCAAAGGUUUAGAUAGAACUAAAGUUGAUAAGAUCAAUGAAUUGAUUGAUGCUUUAAAUGAAAAGAAUAGAUUGUUAGAGAAGCAAGAAGAAAUUUUAUAUGAAGAGCAUGACAAGUUUAUUAGUGUACAAAAAUCUCUUGUUUUAGAAACUAAAAGGAAUGAGAUUUUAUCUUCUGAAAUUUCUGCUUGCCAUGAGUCUAUUUCUAGUUUGAAGAGUGUUAAUGAUGAGUUAAAUGCUAAGUUAGAAGUAGCUAAUAAGUCUAGUUCAUGUGUGGAACAUGUCGUAAUUUGUAAUAGGUGCAAGGAUUUUGAUGUUAAUGCUUGUAAUGAACAUCUGACAUCCAUUACUAAAUUAAAUGAUGAAGUUGCAAGUCUUAAUGCUCAACUUAAGACUUGCAAGGUGGAUUUUGAUAAACUAAAAUUUGCAAGGGAUGCCUACACUGUUGGUAGACACCCCUCUAUUAAGGAUGGGCUUGGCUUUCGAAAGGAAGCCAAGAACUUAACAAGUCAAAGGGCUCCCAUUUCCGCCAAGGAGAAAGGGAAGGCCCUUAUGGCUAAUAGUGCUCAAAGGAAUCAUGCUUUCAUCUAUAGUGAUAGAAAAUUUUCUAGAAAUGCUCAUAGGAGUUUAUGAUUCACAUGCUAUGAUUGCUUCAAGUUCUUCUUUUGUGCAUGGUAGAAAUAUGCCUAGGAAAAAUGUUGCUCAUAUGCCUAGGAAAGUAUGUAAUGAACCUUCUACAAUUUACCAUGCUUGCAAUACUUCUUUUGCAAUUUGUUGUAAGAAUAAGAAAGUGAUUGCUAGGAAGUUGGGGGCCAAGUGCAAGGGAGACAAGACUUGCAUUUGGGUCCCAAAGACUAUUAUAACUAUCCUUGUAGGACCCAACAAGAGUUGGGUACCUAAAACCCAAGCCUAAUUUGCCUUGCAGGCUUAUGCAUGCGGGGGCUCAAGCUGGAUUAUCGACAGCGGAUGCACAAACCACAUGACGGGGGAGAAGAAGAUGUUCACCUCCUACGUCAAGAACAAGGAUUCCCAAGAUACAAUCAUAUUUGGAGAUGGGAAUCAAGGCAAGAUCAAAGGCUUAGGCAAGAUAGCCAUCACAAAUGAGCACUCUAUCUCUAAUGUAUUUCUAGUAGAGUCGCUAGGCUAUAAUCUGUUGUCUGUUAGUCAAUUGUGCCACAUGGGCUACAAUUGUUUAUUUACAAAUGUUGAUGUGUCUGUCUUUAGAAGGAGUGAUGGUUCAUUAGCAUUUAAGGGUGUACUAGAUGGCAAACUCCACUUAGUUGAUUUUUCGAAAGAGGAGGCCGAUCUAGAUACAUGCUUAAUAGCUAAGACUAGCAUGGGCUGGCUGUAGCAUCGCCGUCUAGCACAUGUUGGGAUGAAGAACCUCCAUAAACUUCUAAAAGGAGAACAUGUGUUAGGACUAACAAAUGUGUAUUUCGAAAAAGAUAGACCUUGUGCAGCAUGUCAAGCAGGUAAACAGGUGGGAAGCUCUCAUCACAGCAAGAAUGUGAUGACCACAUCAAGACCUCUGGAGCUACUUCAUAUGGACCUCUUCGGACCCAUCGCCUACCUCAGCAUCGGGGGAAGUAAGUAUGGUCUUGUUGUUGUUGAUGAUUUUUCCCGCUUCACUUGGGUAUUCUUUUUGCAGGAUAAAUCAGAAACCCAAGGGACCCUCAAGCGCUUUCUAAGGCGAGCUCAAAACGAAUUUGAACUCAAAGUGAAAAAGAUUAGAAGCGACAAUGGGUCCGAAUUCAAGAACCUUCAAGUGGAGGAGUUCCUUGAGGAGGAAGGAAUCAAGCACGAAUUCUCCGCUCCCUACACACCACAACAAAACGGUGUGGUAGAGAGAAAGAACAGGACGCUUAUAGACAUGGCGAGGACGAUGCUUGGAGAAUUCAAGACGCCUGAGCGGUUUUGGUCGGAAGCUGUGAACACAGCCUGGCACGCCAUAAACCGGGUCUACCUUCAUCGCCUCCUCAAGAAGACGUCGUACGAACUUCUAACUGGUAACAAACCCAACGUUUCAUAUUUUCGUGUAUUUGGAAGUAAAUGUUACAUUCUAGUGAAGAAAGGUAGGAAUUCCAAAUUUGCUCCCAAAGCUGUAGAAGGGUUUUUGCUAGGUUAUGACUCAAAUACAAAGGCGUAUAAAGUCUUCAACAAAUCAUUGGGUUUGGUUGAAGUCUCUAGCGACGUUGUAUUUGAUGAAACUAAUGGCUCUCCGAGAGAGCAAGUUGAUCUUGAUGAUGUAGAUGAAGAUGAUGUUCCAACGGACGCAAUUCGCACCAUGGCGAUUGGAGAUGUGCGACCACAGGAACACCAAGAGCAAGAUCAACCUUCUUCCUCAACGAUGGUGCAUCCCCCAACUCAAGAUGAUGAAUAGGUUCCUCAAGAAGAGGCGUGUGAUCAAGGGGGAGCACAAGAAGACCAAGUUGUGGAGAAAGAAGCACCACGGGCCCCUCCAACUCAAGUUCGAGCGACGAUUCAAAGGAAUCAUCCCGUCGACCAGAUUUUGGGUGAUAUAAGCAAGGGAGUAACUAAUCGCUCACGUCUAGCUAAUUUUUGUGAGCAUUACUCAUUUAUCUCUUCUAUUGAGCCUUUCAGGGUAGAAGAGGCCUUGCUAGAUCCGGACUGGGUGUUGGCCAUGCAGGAAGAGCUCAACAACUUCAAGCGAAAUGAAGUUUGGACACUGGUGCCACGUCCCAAGCAAAACGUUGUGAGAACCAAGUGGGUGUUCCGCAACAAGCAAGACGAGCACGGGGUGGUGACACGAAACAAGGCUCGACUUGUGGCAAAAGGUUAUGCCUAAGUCGCAGGUUUGGAUUUCGAGGAGACUUUUGCUCCUGUGGCUAGGCUAGAGUCUAUUCGCAUUCUAUUAGCCUAUGCUACUCACCACUCUUUCAGGUUGUUCCAAAUGGAUGUGAAGAGCGCUUUCCUCACAGGGCCAAUCAAGGAGGAGGUGUACGUGGAGCAACCCCCUGGCUUUGAGGAUGAACAGUACCCCGACCACGUGUGUAAGCUCUCUAAGGCGCUCUAUGGACUUAAGCAAGCCCCAAGAGCAUGGUAUGAAUGCCUUAGAGAUUUUCUAAUUGCUUAUGCUUUUAAGGUUGGGAAGGCCGAUCCAACUCUUUUCACUAAGACUUGUGAUGGUGACCUAUUUGUGUGCCAAAUUUAUGUCGAUGAGAUAAUAUUUGGUUCUACUAACCAAAAGUCUUAUGAAGAGUUUAGCAAGGUGAUGACACAGAAAUUCGAGAUGUAUAUGAUGGGCGAGUUGAACUACUUCCUUGGGUUCCAAGUGAAGCAACUCAAGGACGGCACCUUCAUUUCACAAAUGAAGUACACGCAAGACUUGCUCAAGCGGUUCGGGAUGAAGGACGCCAAGCCCGCAAAGACUCCAAUGAGAACCGAUGGACAUGUCGACCUCAACAAAGGAGGUAAGUCCGUUGAUCAAAAGACAUACCGGUCUAUGAUAGGGUCUUUACUUUAUUUAUGUGCUAGUAGACCGGAUAUUAUGCUUAGCGUAUGCAUGUGUGCUAGAUUUCAAUCCGACCCAAGGGAGUGUCACCUUGUGGCCGUUAAGCGAAUUCUUAGAUAUUUAGUUGCUACGCCUUGCUUCGGGAUCUGGUAUCCAAAGGGGUCUACCUUUGACUUAAUUGGAUAUUUAGACUCCGAUUAUGCUGGGUGCAAGGUUGAUAGAAAGAGUACAUCAGGGACGUGCCAAUUCCUAGGAAGGUCCCUGGUGUCUUAGAGUUCAAAGAAACAAACUUCUGUUGCCCUAUCCACCGCUGAGGCCGAGUAUGUUGCUGCAGGACAGUGUUGCGCGCAACUAAUUUGGAUGAGGCAAACCCUCCGGGACUUUAGCUACAAUCUAAGCAAAGUCCCACUCCUAUGUGAUAAUGAGAGUGCAAUCCGCAUGGCGGACAAUCCUGUUGAACACAGCCGCACUAAGCACAUUGACAUCCAUCAUUACUUUUUGAGAGACCACCAGCAAAAGGGAGAUAUCGAAGUGUUUUAUGUUAGCACCGAAAAUCAGCUAGCCGAUAUCUUUACCAAGCCUUUAGAUGAGAAGACCUUUUGCAGGCUACGUAGUGAGCUAAAUGUCUUAGUUUCGCGUAACUUGGAUUGAUCUAUAGCAUACAUGUGUUUUAUGUCCUUGAUCAUGUUCCUUUAUGCAUAUUAUUGCUUAUUUAUGGUGCUCAAGUUGUGCAAGGGAUCCCCGGACCUCACAAGUCCAUGUGUGAAUGAUGCACAUAUUUAGGGGGAGAAAUGCUACAACUUGACCCUUUGAGACUAACCGUGUGCUUGAGUUUACUUAAUUUAGUCUCAAAGGUGGAUUGAAAGGGAAAGGUGAACUUGGACCAUGCAAGACUUCCACUGCACUUCGUUGAGAGGGUAAUUUACUCCAAGUUCAUCUCCAUGCUCUUAUUGCCUUUUUACUCUUAAUUGACGAUUUUGGUGAGGCAAUGGGGUUUAAGGGUCAAUAAUGAUCCUGUUUUGGUGCUUAAUGCCAAAGGGGGAGAAAUUAAGGCCAAAGCAAAUGGAUCAGCUACCACUUGAGAACUUUGAAAAUAGUAGAGUUAGAACUUUUGAUUUGUCAAAAUACUCUUAUUGUCAAAAUUUGGUCUCUUAUGGGGAGAAUUUAUGAUUAUGGGAAAAGGGGGAGUUUUUGGAUCUUGACCAUUUUCUCUCUUGGAUUAUCUCUCUUUAUGCCCAAACAAGUGAGUUUGACUUAGAGAUAGGAAAAUGAAUUUGAUUUCCAAAAACAAACCAAGUGGUGGCAAAGAACGAUCCAAAUAUGUCAAAUCUUGUAAAAGACAAUUUUUGUUCUCAAUUGCAUUGAUGUUGCACUUCUAUUUGUUGUUUUUUGAUGUGUUGGCAUAAAUCACCAAAAAGGGGGAGAUUGAAAGGGAAAUGUGCCCUUGAGCCUUUUCUAGUAUAUUUUUGGUGAUUAAAUGCCCAACACAUAUUGAGUGAGUAAUUAUGUGCCAAAUGAUGGAUGAAGUGCAAAUCAACAAGAAGGUAUGAUUCUAGACUUAGUAUAUUGGUUUUUUUGUACUAAUAUAUUUGUCUAAGUGCUAGAAUUAGAGAAAAGAGAAAAAGGAAAAGACUUGGCUGGAGCAGCCAAGACUCAGCGCAGUCUAGCACACCAGACUGUCCGUUGGUGCACCGGAUAGUGUCCGAUGCGCCAGGCUGGCUUCUGGCGAACUGGCCACUCUCGGGAAUUCGUUGGCGGCGUACGGCUAUAAUUCACCGGACUGUCCGGUGGUGCACCGGACUGUCCGAUGAGCUAACGGCCGCCAGCUCAACGGUCGGCCGCCAAAUCCGCGGGCGACGCGUGGCCCGCUCCAACGGUCGGUAGGAGGCACCGGACUGUCUGGUGUGCACCGGACAGUGUCCGGUGCGCCAACGGCUACAAUUCUGCAACGGUCGGCUGUGCCAUUUCAGGAAGGCGAUCUGCACAGGACCAUGAACAGUGCCUGUCCGGUGCGCCAUCCGACAGAAGGCAAGAAUUGCCUUCCCAGAUUGCCUCGAACGGCUCCUAGCUGCCUUGGGGCUAUAAAAGGGACCCCUAGGCGCAUGGAGGAGUCACCCAAGCAUUCUUUAAUCAUCUCUAAGCACCAAGACUCCAAUCUCGCGCAUUUGAUUCUUUGUGAUAGUGACUUGAGCUCUAUUUGAGUAGAGAACUCCUCACAUUGUGUUGUGAGCUUAAGUUGUGGCUUGUGUGCGUGAUUGUGCUCGUGCUUUGAGUCUUGUGUGUGUUGCUCUCCCCUCCCUUACUUACGUGCUUCUUUAUGAUCAUCAAUUGUAAGGGCGAGAGUCUCCAAGUUGUGGGGAUUCCUCGCGAACGGGAGAUAGUAAAAGAAAGAAAAAUACCAUGGUAUUCAAGUUGAUCAUUGGAUCACUUGAAAGGGGUUGAGUGCGACCCUCGUCCAGCGGGACGCCGCAACGUGGAGUAGGCAAGUGUUAUACUUGGCCGAACCACGGGAUAAAUCACCGUGUCUCUUGUCCUUGUUUUCUUCGUGACCAUUGUGUUUCACAAGAGCUUGGUCCUUAGCCACUUGAUUCUAUUGAGCUAACACUUAACCAAGUUUUGUGGCUACAAGUAUUUGAUUUUUACAGGAUCACCUAUUCACCCCCCCUCUAGGUGUUCUCAGAGAUGCCUUGGAGACAUAGCGAUAGUAUGGCUGACUAAGUUUUUCAACACCAUCUUUCGGACAAACAGAAUGCCCGACGAGUGGCAGCGGAGUACGUUAGUACCAAUCUUCAAGAACAAAGGAGAUGUUCAAAGUUAUACUAAUUACCGUGGAAUUAAGCUCAUGAGCCAUACAAUGAAGCUAUGGGAGAGAGUCAUUGAACACCGCCUGCGGAAGAUGACGAGCGUGACCCAAAAUCAGUUUGGUUUCAUGCCUGGGAGAUCAACUAUGGAGGCCAUUUUCUUACUAAGACAACUUAUGGAGAGAUUCAGAGAACAAAAGAAAGACCUGCAUAUGGUCUUCAUAGACUUGGAGAAGGCUUAUGACAAAGUACCUAGGAGUGUAAUGUGGUGGGCCUUGGAAAAACACAAAGUAUCAACAAAAUACAUUAAUCUUAUUAAAGAUAUGUACACUAAUGUUGUGACAAGUGUCCGAACAAGUGAUGGAGACACCGAUGACUUUCCAAUUAACAUAGGACUACAUCAAGGGUCAGCUUUGAGCCCUUAUCUUUUCGCUUUGGUGAUAGAUAAGGUCACAAGGGACAUACAAGGCGAUAUACCGUGGUGUAUGCUUUUUGCCGAUGAUGUGGUACUUAUUGAGGAGAGUAGGAGUGGUGUUUUGCAAAAGUUGGAAUUGUGAAGGCAGACGCUGGAAGCAAAAGGUUUUAGGCUUAGUAGGUCUAAAACAGAGUAUAUGAAGUGUGAUUUCAGUGCCAUGGGGUAUGAGGAUGGCGAUGUUAGUCUUGAUGGGCAAGUGGUACCCAAGAAAGACACUUUUCGUUACUUAGGAUCAAUGCUUCAGAAGGAGGGAGACAUCGAUGAGGAUGUCAGUCAUAGAAUUAAAGCUGGAUGGUUGAAGUGGCAGCAAGCUGCGGGUGUCUUAUGCGACCCCUGGGUGCCACACAAACUAAAAGGCAAAUUCUACAGGACAGCAAUCCGACCGGCUAUGUUGUAUGGAGCAGAAUGUUGGCCACUAAAAGACAACAUGCCCAACAACUAAGUGUGGCAGAGAUGCGUAUGUUGCGCUGGAUAUGUGGCCACACAAGGAGAAAUCGAGUCCGGAAUGAUGAUAUACGAGAGAGAGUAGGAGUGGCGCCAAUUGAGGAGAAGCUUAUGCAACAUCGUUUGAGAUGGUUUGGACAUAUCCAACGAAGACCUGAAGAGGCACUAGUGCAUAUCAGAAUAAUUAGGUGUCCCGAGAAUGUGAAGAGAGGUAGAGGUCGACCAACCUUGACGUGGACAGAGGUUGUGAAGAGGGACCUGAAGGAGUGGAAUAUUGAUAAAGAGCUUGUCGUGGAUAGGAAGGGGUGGAAGUGUGCAAUUCACGUGCCAGAACUCUGAUUUGUAGUUCCGCCUUUCCUCCUUAAUCGUUUGACCUUUUCUUGUGCCCCUUUAGAUCUUGCUGGUUCUUGUGGGUUUUAUCUCUUUUUAUGUGUUUCCCCGUUUCGUCGUUUUACGGUUCUCCUUUGCCUUUGUCUCCCUUUUCUUUUCUUUGGAGGUUGAGCUCUGAUGUUUUCAUAUGGGGUUUCAUCUCUAGCCUACCCCAACAUGCUUGGGACAAAAAAGCUUUAUUGUUGUUGUUGUUACCUCAUUUGUUUCGAGUGGAAUCAAACUAAAGUUAGUUAAAGCUUAUCAUGCAUUCCAUCUUUGAUGUGCACGAUCGUGUUUGGUACUUGAUAUUGUUUCAUAGUGUGGCAACGAUGCUGCUGCUCAGUAGCACAACAGAACACUUGGCAUGUAUAAGUUCUUCCCAUUACAUGUUUUGUUUCGUCCUUCUAAAAGUAUAUAUUGUAGCAUUUUUCUCAUGCCAACUAUGCCUCAAGCUGAGAAUUAGUAGCAUGCUACGCAAAUUAUUCUACGAUUUAUUUUUAUGUGUUGCUUGUAUUCAUAUAGUGCACUAACAUUUUAUCGAAUAAUUUGUGCGCCCCUGCCUCUCCCUCCCUCCUCCCCCGCCACAUCACGGAGCUCCAUCUUUGCCGGUCGCUGCGCCAUCCCUGCGCCGGCACCCACACGUACCUUAUCGACUGCACGCCGUCGUCAACAAGGCCCUUGUGACCAUGCUCCGCCACUCCAUUGUCGUCCUAUGGAGAUUAUAUUCCCUCCUUGAAACUGCCCCCUCGUCCUCAACCUCACGCGCCUUGCAGACGGGUGGCCUCACGCCGUGGGAUCGGCUCGACUGUAGCCCGAGUUUCACUUCGACACCAUGUCGGACGACUCGCGGACGUCGUGCUCCAUCUCAUAACAGUGUAAUACACAUUUGUACAUAAGUUAUCGUGAUAUUAUAUGUCUCUAUUGCAAUGCACGUACACUCACCUAGUUCAGCUAUGAAGGCUAGAGUGAAGAUCACAGUUGGUGGUACAUGGCAAUCAAGGUCCAAGUAUGUCUUGACAUCAAAAAAUAAGUACCACCACACAUCUGCAAAGAGCUUUUCGAAAGGAAAAAAACUUCCAAAACACACAUCUGCAAAGAGGACAGAGAAGAGCAUCAAGAAUCUGCUGAUGCCUUGAAAGAGAUCGAGAUCCGGAACAAAUCCAAUCGAUGCGGAAUAAGCAAUGCUGGCAUAAAUUAAUAGUGUGAUCGUGUCAGAAUCUUGAUUAGUACUAGUAUUGCUGCCAGUAUAAAAUGGUCAUCCCUCGUUCUGUCGUGCAUCAUCCUGUGCAGCUAUAGACAUGAUGGUGAUGCAAUUGAUAGUCACUGAUAACAAUACCUUGCCACUAGAUCCGAAUUGGCGUGUUUAUAAAGGGACAUUCAAGUUUCUUACCUACUUUCUGAAGCACGAGCUGCCAAGCAGCCUUUAUUCAAGAAGCAAAGUAAAAAACUGAAACGUGGACGAACUAUUCCCUUUCCGUACUUUACAAUUUGUUUGCCAGCAACUUUCUUCUUGCUGGCUGAUCAUUCAACUUCUCGCUGACAGAGCUAUAUGCUCUUUUUGAACAAGAAUCAUCGGAGCGGUCGGAAACUAUAGUGUAGUUCCUGCUGCUCACAUCCCUGAAGUAGCAUCCAUCAGUUCCCACAUACUUAUACACCUGAUGGGUCUUCCCCAAUCCACUGACCACCAAAUUCUUCUUCACCCUCAUAGUGCCUUGUGCCGACUGUGAAUUCCGUAGGGAGCUGUACAAGAAGCCCGGUUUCCCACCGGAGGUCUUCUUCCCAUUGAUACCAAAUUUAACAAUUGAAUCCAAUGAGUACUCAUCGUCCGCUUGAUCUGAGGUUCCAGUAUAAAGGUACAGCGGGAAAACCUCAUGGAAUUCCUCAGAGAGCAGCACGGCAGAAGCAUCCUUGGCAAAAAUGCCAGACUUCGCAUCGAUUGUUUGGUUCACGAUCUGCACAGUGCCGUUCUUUCUAAACACAUUGAUGUUCUCAUAGCAGAAUCUCUGAUUGAAGGUUGUGGUGACCUCCCCGUACGACGAUUUCACCCAUCCCGUGGCAGAGACGUGCCGACUUGCGCUUGUCACAAACUGCCCGUCUAAUCCAGUGAAUUCUGAGCUCACAUUAAGGUUCAAUCCGGAUGCCUCAUAGCUGAGCAAGCCUCCAGUGGUCUUCUCGCUCUUGUGAUCCAGCCACAGAUGCAAAUUGGCAUCAACGUACCACACAUCAAGAGCAUUUGUCACGCCAAACCCGAAAUCAUGUUCCUCGCCGUCCAGGAGCUUGCCCAAGAAUGGCGUGAUGUCAAUGUCAUAUGUCGGGAGAUUGAAUGAGCCGAUUCCUGUGAUUGGCCGCCAUAGAAGCGGGUUAACACCACCGGUGUAAAUCACAGUGAAUGGCCAAACAGCGCCGACGACUUCACCAUCCACCCUAGCUACGACUUCCCUGAAUGCGCCAUUGCCGGGGACACUGGACAAGUUGUUCGCCCGAAUGUAAUCGUUGGGCGGAUUGGUAUACCAGAACUCGUCGUCGGAAUGGAAGGAAACGAACACUUGAAGGACCGCCCUGUAGGUGUUCGACGGAAUGGCGAGCUUCUUUGACUGCACAUCAGUAGCAUUCUGGAUGGCGAACCACUGCCCGUCGUUCAAGGGUAAGCUCCUUGAAAUGGGCACAAUCAGAUCAGCCUGCUGCUGCUGCUGCGGUGGCGGCUGCGGCUGCGGAUCGGUGCGGAAGUAGAGGUGGAGCGUGAGGUUGGCGUGAUAGACGCCGGUGUAUGUUUUGUCGAUGAGGUUGCCGAGGUACACCGCGACCUCACCGGGCUCCGCGAGGAGGGCGGCGUACCUGGUGACGUCGCGGGACACGGACCAGAGGAUGCCGUUGGGACGCGGCUCGGCGGUGCAGCUGCGGAGGAGCUCGGCGCCCGAGAGCCAGACGCCGAAGAUGCGGUCGAACUGGCGGCCGCGACAGUCGGCGGCCCACUCGAGCACGGCGAGCGCGAGGGCACCGGCGCCGCCCGCGUCGCCGAGGCAAGCCGGCGGCGCGUAGGCGGCGGUGGCGGGGGGGCGGCCGUAUGUGGCGCCGAAGGUAGCCGAGAGGAGAAGCGUGGAGCAAGGCCCCGCGCUGCCGCGCGGAGGGCGGAUCGGGCGAUCGACCUCGAAGAAGGUGGUCGGCGGCUCCGACGCGUUGAGGGAGGCGACCUGCAAGGACGCGCCGAGGCGAUGCCGCAUCUGCAGCGCCGCGGCCGCCGUUACGGAGGGGAGGAGGAUGGCGAUGAGGGCGAGGAGGAUGCUCGCGGUAGCGGCGGAUGGCGCCAUUGUAGAAGCGGUGGGCACGAGGGGCGGUUGGACUGAGAGGAAGAGGAAGCGGAAGUGGACAUGCUACCCGGGGGUUUAAACGAGGUGUUCUAGGUGAUCUGUUAUAAUAACUCCCCACUAAUGAUACGAUAAAUUUAAAAUACAAUGAAGUGAGAUACAAUAAAGUGAGUGGAUGUUUGUGUGGCAAAAGUGAUCGGAAUAACAAGGGAGAGCAAAAGAGAACCAUUUUUCGUUCUAUAACUUGUGAAGCAACUCAAGAGGAGCAAAUAAAGAUUGAUUUAUUUUUUUGAAAAAUGAAAGAAAAACUCGUCUUAAUAUGUUAACAAGGUUGAACAUAGAAAAAUGUUGAUAACUGCAGAAGCUUGGUAUGGAUUGUAAACAGUAUCCUAUAGUUCAUUUUCAAGAAAGAAAAAAAUAUACAUGAAGUAUCAUCCUAUUUCCUGUUUGUGGCAUUAGCACUUCACAAACUAAGGGGGUGUUUGGUUGCUCCUGCUAAAGUUUAGUCCGGGUCACAUCAAGCGUUUGACUUUUAAAUAGGAGUAUGAAAUAUAGACCCAACCAACUGGACUAGAUUCGUCUCGUCUUUUAAUCUUCGGCUGACAAAUUAGUUUUAUAAUCCGACUACAUUUAAUAACCGGAACGGAGGUUCAAAUAUUCGAUGGGACAUGAGCUAAAUUUUAGCGGGGUGUAACCAAACACCCCCUAAGUUAUAUCAUACCAGCUAGUUCACGGGGGAUCAUGAAUAGCUCUUGCAGUAUUCACCGGAUAUUAUUCAUGCCAGCUGAUCCGUCUCGACAGGCAAAGGAACAAAAAUAUGCUAGACUUUUAGACCACUCAGAUAAGUGACUUAAUAAACUUUUAUGGUUUCACGAAGAGACCAGGAUAAUUUGAAAUUUGAGAAGAUUGAUAACAUUGAUGCCGGUGCUCCAAGAUGAUCUUUAUUUCACACACGCAUAUAUUGUACAUAAGUUACAACAAUGAACAAUCAUGUGUCUCUUUACAAUAAAUUCAGACAUCGUUAGAAUGUUAAACAUUGGAAUGGAGGUAUUUUUCAAAACAGUGGACAUUGGAGAAAUGUAUUAUUCUUUGUGGGUGAGCAUUGUACAAAUCUGACAUCCCUCUUCAGCCAAGCAUCAAUUCAUCUAGAACUUCUCCUAGUCUUUUCAAAGAUCUGCUCAGGGAUCAGUGUGCCAUUGCCAUUGGCCUUCUUGAUCUCCAUGUUAUCCUUCUGGUAGAACCCAAUGCCUCUCAGAGCAUAUGUAAUGAAGUCAUUGAAUCCAAUGGCGAUGGCAGCCUCUACCUUAGCCCCAUAAACCAGACUCUGCAUUGCAAGACAGGUAGGAAAGUUAGACAUCACUCGAUAAUUUCUAGUUGUGCCUAUCAGUUUAGGAAACCAAAAUAGUGGGGUAUGAACCUUGAUUCGGGAGAGAUGAACUACACCAAAGCACAUCUCCAACAUCAUCCAAAUCUCUUCAAGCAUCAUACUCUAAGUUAGAAGAUUGCAACCAACAACUAAGAUCAAGCAAUGAAGAAGGCAGCCAUAACUCCCACUGUACAAUAUCCACAUUUUGGUAUUCAACUAUGGACAUUAUUUAUACUACACCACACACACAAAAAUCCUAUAUUCAAGAAAGUAUCAAACACCUAACAUGAAGCUUCUAAUAUCACCCCACACACCCAAAGGAGUUGUGUUUGGAUAGAAAUGCUUGGAAAGAAGCUAUCCACGUGCCCGAACCGUGAUUAGGCAUUUUCUCUUUUAGUUCUCUCAAAAGCUUUUCCCCUCCCCUUUAUCUCUCUUUCUCUUUUUGGUGACUUCUUGUUGGGUUUCAAAUCUAGCCUACCCCAAUUUGUUUGGGACUAAAAAUCUAUGUUGAUGUUGAUACAAAUUUCUAUAAAACAGCCAAACAGCUUACCCAACUUUAGAAACUCUAUGCUCUACAUCGUGGUUGUACAUUUCAUAGAUGUGUAGAUGUAUUGUCCGAACUUAACACCAUCAUUCCCUCCUUCCUUCAAGUGGCGUGAAACAAGCCCCAUAUGGAGAACAAACGAUGAAAAUGUUGUCUUAAAUAUUUUCUCCAACUGAAAAACUGCAAAGGUACAUGUAAAAUAUUUCUGUCUCAAUAUACCAUGAUCAUAAAAAGAUAAAAGUUCAAAUAAACUAGCUAUCAAAAGCUCAAGCACACCUAUCAUGAUACUGAUUUCUGCCUUGAAAAAUCACACAACCUUUGGUUUUGCGCAAGCUACGAAUUAAUUAUCACCAUGAAAAAAAUAAAAUGUGUACCAGUAGAAACUGUGUAUCUUUGGCAGGUGACGUCCACUAACAUGUACUUGUACACCUCGGCUGGAUCAUCUCCUGCAUCGCUGCCACCAGCUCGGCGUUGAAUGGGUACAACGACUGAGAUGGAGCUGCCUGCGUAGGAAAGGUGGGAUGGAGGAGACUGCGGCGGCAUGAGCACGAAAGAGAGAUAUAGAAAAGAAAUGCUAAGUUUACUCUUUACUCUAGCUUAAUGAACAGUCAGCAAAAACAUUUUUGGACUUAAAUGAUAUUCAGUUUCCAAAUAUGUUUUUAUUAUGGUUAAAUAUAUUUGUAAACACAGUAUGUCGCCUUGUACACAUUCUGAUCCGUGAGACAGAAUGUUUUCAACCUUAUAACAUGAAAAAUAUAUAGAAUCGAAGCAUUUUUUAUUAUCAGUGUUAUAUUACUGAUAUUCAUGUGAUAUUUUUCCUAAAGGACAUGCAAUUUGUUGGUUGUUUGGAACUAAAAACUAAGUGAAUAGCAAAACCAAAUCCUAUUGUACCAAAGUCUAUUACAGGCUGUACCAAUAUCUAAAUGAGUAGUUGAACCUGCACAUAGCUAUCUUGGGGUAGGGCGGUUCUGGUGGUGGAUCGUUUAGACGGUGAUCCACCAAGCACUGAAAGAUGGAGAGGUGUGUUCUUUUGAGAGAAAAACCAAAUAAGAUUAAUAAAACAUAGUAAUGUAUAUUCAGCUAUAUUUAACUACAUGACCACGGAAUAGUUUUCAGAUCAUCCAUAGAGGGGUCAUUGUUGCCAGUUACGACAACUAUAUUCUGCUAUAUGCAACAAACCCAUUUCUGCUCAAGCCAGAAAGUAGUGUCACAAUCUAUCCAUAUUAUUAGCAUCAAGAAUUGAAAUUAACUAAAUUAAGACAUACUGAAUCAACAUAGAAAAACUAAAAUGACAUGAGUAUACAAAUUAACCUACAAGCCAAACUAAGACCACAACCACAUAGUAAAUCUAUGAGAAGAAAAAAUGUGAUUGUAAACAUUGAACAUAAGUGUUUGAAAGUGCAGGGGCGGUACACAUAUAGAAAAUAUCCAUCGGCUGGAUGGCUAAUAAAGCAGAGCAGUACCUGAACUGAAGAAAGCUCCUUUGACAGACAUAGCAUUCUAGUUUUUAUCUUUUAUACCAAUAUCUAUCACAUCUGAAAUUUGAUUGUAAAGAGAUAGGAGUUGUAGAAAGAGAAAAACUAAAGGAAAAAUGAAUAAUACGAAUUACAAAAUGUAGAACAAACACUUUACAAAAUAUGCACAAUCCAGUUCUAUUUCAAAUAUGUGUUAAAAUAAAUCAUAUUGCAUGAGCUAUAUUAAAGCAGAAAAGUACCUAAAACUGAAGAAAGAUCAUCUGACUCAGGAACCAUAAACACACACUUUUGCCAUCAGAUCUGUUGCAAGAUGAAAUAACUUGACAUUACUUAUAGCUAUAGAGCAUGUCAAUCUGUUGCAAGAUGAAACAACCUUGGCUCUUAGCAUGCCCAAAUCUACCAGAAUACAAAAAAAAUAAAUGCACUAAUGAAAUUUAUGUAUACCAAAGUUGGGCCCAGAGAAAUUUCACAUCAACAGCCGCAGAAACUUUGGCCUAGCCUCACAAGAAACCAAAUGAGCUAUGUUUGCUGGUCUGAAUGAACCAACUACCGAUUGUGCAUCAAGUUAAACGUCAAGGGGCUAGGUAGAUCUGGAAGUUACCUGAUGAUUUUGAAGACGUGCUCAAGAGGCAUGUCCUCCUUCUGUGCCUCGACGGACGUGGAGGUGGGGUCAUCCCCACGGGCCCAGACAGUGAACGAGAGCUCGCCGCCGGUGUAGGUGAGGCUCUUGCGUAGCUUCUGCCUCCGUUGUUGCUGGUGGUACGACGCCACAUUCUCCAGCACUUUCUCCUAGAUCGAUCGCCCCUACGGCGACGCCAUGGACGCCACCAUCGCGACCGCGAAAGGACGAGAGGAGUCGGGGUGCGGACAGCGCCGGAUGUUCGGGGGCGAGGAGUGGAGGUGGAGGCCGAGAUGGAGGCAAGUAGGCAGAAGAGAGAAUUGGGGAUCAAGGAGAGCAGCAGAGGUAGUUUGGGGAAGGGGGUUUCGUGGGGAGGGAGACGCUUUGAUGAUUGAUGAGUUUGAGUAAGAGAGAAUAGACAAAUAAAAUAAUCUGGACCGUUGGUUUUUUACAGUGGGAUUUAUCUGGGGUUAAAUUGUUUAGUGGCUUUAGUAGAGACAUGAGUGUGUGGGAUGAUUUAUGGGGUGUAUCUAGUUUAGUUUAAACUGGUGGAUUUAAGGGGUAGAGAUGCAAAAAACAAUUCUCUAGCACUAGAUGUUCGACUCUUUCUGGAAAUAUUAUUAUCAUCGGACAAAGUUUGAGGCUGCAGAAAUUACUAAGGGUAUGUAGUACAACGUAGAGUCUCUUUGAUCAGUUUUCUAUGCAUAAUGAACACCUAAGAAACUACAUCAUAUAAUAAAUGGUAUUGAAAAUCAGUCAUAUUAUAAAUGUUGUCAAGAGACCUUAUCUACAAAGAGUCGUGCAAAGACAAACUGAAUAGUCCGUGUCGGAGGGCAAAUCUCUCCGGCCGGGUGGCGGAUUGCACCCGCCCUAAUUUCUAAAAUGAGGAGGGGCCUAAGCAUCUUGCUUGUUACGAGGUUGGUGGAUGAACACACGAGAGCACAGGAGGGUUUAGAGUGGUUCGGGCCGCCGGGGCGUAACACCCUACUCCACUGUGUAAUGUAUUGUGAGUCUGAGCUUGGCUCUCCUUGUAACGUCGCAUGCCUCCCCUUUUAUAGCUGAAGGGGGGCAUGCACAAAGGCACUGAGCCCCGACAUGUGGGCCCAGGGACAUAGAGAAUAUAACACUUGGGACUAUAAAUAUUUGCUGCCGGGGCAAUCCCCUUGUGUCCUGUCGUCCGAGAUCUGUGUAUCUUUGGCGUGCAGGGGAAGCUUCUUGUAGAAGGGAAAACACAGUGCGCUGCUAGGCACGAGCGCACUGUUCGCCAGUAGACCCAGCAGGCGCGCCGCCUGCUGGAUAACCUUGACAUCGCCUGCCAGCGGAUGGGACGGGACGCAUUAAAUGCUGAGAGGGCACGUCGCCCGUCAGCGCAGUGGCAGGCGGCGCGUCCUCUCCUCAAUAAAUGCCGGGGCUGCACGGCUUUACGUUAGGCUCGGCCCGAUGGCUUAUGUCAUGGGCCACAUGCAGCGGGUCUCCGCCUAAGCGAGAAGUGAAGGGCAAGGCCUGGACACGUGUCAGCACCGGACCCCUACUCACGCCAGGGUCCUCCUCGUUCCGGGACCUUAAUGAGGUUCGGACCUUACUCGGAGGCUCCGGACUUAUACGUAUAGGGGUUCGAUGUCCUUUUGUGGAGGUCCGGACCCCACGAUUCAUACUGGGAUGUGUUGUCUUUUCCUACCACGUGGCGCCCUUUGGCCUGCCCAUGCGGUGGGGUCAGGCGCCGUCCUCCGCGUGACCUAGAGACAUCACAUGGGUGCGGCGUCUUCAUACUGUAGAAGAGGGUACCCCUGAUUUAGGGUACCGACAGUCCAUAUCUUUUAUAUUUCAUAUUUAACCCCAUAAAUAUCUCUCAAAAAUAUGGUAUUAAAUGAGGUUGUAUAUGACCUAGUCUCUAUUUGUUUUAUUAUAUUGAUGAGGCGGCCUACAACAAGAAGGUAAAAGCUAAGUCAUUUUAGGUUGGAGAUCUAGUUUGGAGGACGGUCUUGCCAUUAAGGAGCGGUGGCUGGAAGUUUGGCAAGUGGUCCCUAAGCUGGGAAGGGCCUUAUAGAGUUAUACAUAUGAUCUCUAGUAAUACAUAUAUGUUGCAAACGUUGCAGGGUGAUGAGCUAUCCAAGGCAUGGAAUGAUCGUUUCCUGAAGCAAUAUCAUUAUAGUGUAUGGCAAGAUGCUUAAAAACCGAUGGUUUCACAUCGAGUUGCUUACAACUUGUACUAGAUGCUUUUGGUUCGUUUAGCUUCCCUAAAAGUCAGGGCAUGUGUUGAGAACCAGAUUUAGCACCUGGGCAUGACCGGAGGUCUGGCCAUGUGGUCCAGACAAUCUGUGGGUGUAACCCAGACGGUCCGCGAUUAGAUUAACUCGGGCAAGAGUCCUUAUCCUGCACAUGCUUAUAUGGCUAAUCUCGCAGAAAUCUGUUGGGAUGCGCCUAGGAAUGAGUCCACACCCCUCCUAUAAAUAUGAAGGGGUACAACCGAUGAGGUAGCAUAUAAUCGAUCCAAUCAAUCUAUUUACCAGUUCUUUUACAUUCUUUCCCUAGGAGUAGCAGUAAUUACUCAUCUGCAUACCUAAUCUUCACCUCUCCUCGACUCGACGUAGUCUAGAGGCGUCUUGGGUGGUCUACCAACUCUAAGACAACCCUAAGAUAUUUCCUCCCUAAUGGGGUCCCUUCUAGGAGGCAAGAUCCAGGUUUUGCAGGAGAUGAACGAAACCUCUACACGGCUCGCGGACGAUCUGCCGCUCAUUCGUGGACGUUCCACACACCCGCAGAGAAGAUCAGAGCCCCUCUAUGCAGCCACAGGCGGUCCGAUCGCUUUCUGAUUUUUUUACAAAGUUUGUAGUCGUUUUCUGAUUAGAAAAGAUUUGUUUAUUUUGUUUAUUCGCACGAAUAAAUAUUUGUGUAACUAGCCUUCACACAUUCGGUUUGGAAAUUGGAUUUUCGUUCCUCGUAUAGGCUCUGGACUUAUACGUAUAGGAGUCUGAUGUCCUUCUGUGGAGGUCCGGACCCCACGAUUCAUACUGGGAUGUGUUGUCUUUUCCUACCACAUGGCACCCUUUGGCCUGCCCAUGCGGUGGGGUCAGGCGUCGUCCUCCGCGUGGCCUGGAGACGUCGCAUGGGUGCGGCGUUGUAAGUGCAAUCAACCCUAAUUGAGGGUUUUGGUGAUUAAAUGACAAAACAAACAGAGAUUCUAACAAGUUUGCUCCUAGUAUGUACACAGUAAUUCUACAGACAGGAGAAGCACAGAUCUUACGAGCAUAAAAAUAGAAAGCACAGCGGAUUUAAAAUUCCACAUCAAAUGGCGUGCUCCAAGUGCUUUGAAACAACGGCAGUGCUCAAUUUAUAAUUCUUGAGUUAUAGGAGUCGCCGUGCAAUUAAGAGGGAUCCGCAAUGGUUAAGUAAGUCAUGCAAUGAGCUAAGUUCAAAAUCCUUUGAAAUCAUCUUCGAGAACAUUUUUCCAGAUCAUGAAUGCCCUUGAGAAAAACCAAUUUUACUUCCCACAAAAACUCCACUUUGUUCUCUUCAAAAUACUCAAAAUUUGGUUUCAGCCCUGGAAACCGGUUCAACCGGUUUUGGGACUGCUCCUCUGUCAUCCCUGCUCUGACCUAUCUGACAGUCAGAGCUGUCAGAUAAGUCGUUGCAGAUCUUUUGGGAAAACCGGUUCAACCGGAUUUUUUCCUACUCAACCGGUUUUGAAUCCGGUCGAGUCUCCGGCUGAGUAGGUUAGUGAACCGGGAUCUCCCUAGUAGAAACCGGUUCAACCGGUCUGAAAACCGGAUCAACCGGUUUUUACCCCUUUUCUCCCAACGGCUGCCAGCUUUUGGGGGAUCCUUUAUAUACCCCCUCACACUCUCUCUCUUAUUUUCUCCUGCCUCUCCCACGAAAUCUAGGCUGACCAAACUCUCAACAAGUGCAUUCAUUUCACCUCUCACACCCGCAAUCGUGUCUCCUUCAAUCAUUUGAAGGACCCUUGGUGUGAGGUGAACUCGAUCUAACACGCUGUUAAUUUCAUCUCGAUUCUCCUAUUCUCUUUGUUCUUGAGCUCGUUGCAAACUUAACCCUGUGCGGAUUUGUUACUCUUGGAACCUCGUGUUCCUUGACGGUUAGAGGUUGCUUGGGAGUCUCCAAAUUUGUGGACGACCCCAAGAAGUUUGUAUCACCCGCUCUUUGAGCAUAUUUGAGAAGAGAUUGCCUUGACCUUUGUGGUCGGCUUGUGGAGGAUUAGGGUUGGAAAAGACCCGGCCCUUUGUGGGCUCCUCAACGAGGAGUAGGACACCUUUGUGGUGGUUGCCGAACCUCGGGUUAUAUCGCGUGUUCUUGUGUAUUCUUGUUAAGUGCUUUAAAUUCGUUGGUUGGUUCAUAUUAUAUAUCCGAGUAGAUUUUGUGUAGGGCAAGUCGUUAGCAAAAUUCUUCACUACUUCAUAUUUGUUUAACAGAUUAUCUAAUCUAAGUUGAGCAGGUUCAAACUUGUUCAGUUGUGAUCAAAAUCAACUGAACCGGUUUGCACCAGUGCAACUUUAAUUUAACCUAUCUCGAAGUUUUUAGUGAAAAAUUUCAGGUGUAGCCUAUUCACCCCCCCUCUAGGCUACUUUCAAUUGGUAUCAAAGCUUCGUACCUCGUUUUACGCUUAACCGCGUGAGGAAACGAUCAUGUCUACUCAACGGGACCAUGUGGAUCCUCUCCUCGAGGAAAUCCCCAUCACAUCUUCUAGUGAGGAAGUGGACCCCAAGGUCCUCGACCUCGCCAUGAAGAUUGCCGAGAAAAUGUUCCUCAAAAUGAAAGAGGAAGAUGCUAAGAAAAAGGCCGAAGAAGAAGAAUCAAGAAGAAAGGCCGAAGAAGAUAAAGGUAAGGGAAAAUUUGAUUACAAUGACGAUCUAGUGGAUCUUUUGGUGUCGAAGGUGUGAGCAAGGUAAGUCUCAACACCUAAGGAUCAUCUACCAAAAGCAAAGGUAACGAAUUUAGUAAAGUUCAAUUCGAUUACUCUAGAAAUUUUAUUCCCAACUUCUCUUCCGCCCCACUUGGAAAGUUACCAACUCUUAGUGAGUUGAACUAUGACGAGUGGGCCGACAAGAUGAAGUCACAUUUAAUCGGUGUGCAUCCUAGUCUUUGGGAGAUUGUUAAUGUAGGUAUGUAUAAGCCCGCCCAAGGAGAAGAGAUGACUCCGGAAAUGAUGCAAGAGGUUCAUCGCAAUGCUCAAGCAGUGAGCAUAAUUAAAGGAAGUCUUUGUCCAGAAGAAUACCGGAAAGUUCAAGGAAGAGAAGAUGCCCGUGACAUUUGGAAUAUUCUUAAAAUGUCACAUGAAGGAGAUCCCAAAGCUAAGAGACAUAGAGUUGAAGCUUUGGAAAGCGAGCUUGCUAGAUAUGAUUGGACCAAGGGUGAGUCGCUUCAAUCACUCUUUGAUCGGUUGAUGGUGUUAGUAAACAAAAUAAGAGUGCUUGGAAGUGAAGAUUGGAGUGACUCCAAGGUCACAAGAUUAUUCAUGAGAGCAUAUAAAGAAAAGGAUAAGAGUCUAGCAAGGAUGAUAAGGGAUCAUGAUGACUAUGAGGAUAUGACGCCUCAUCAAUUAUUUGCAAAGUUUCAACAACACGAGUCCGAAGAAGCCCCUAUCAAGACAAGAGACUCUCAUGCUUUGAUCACUAAUGAUCAAGACACCCCCAAGAAGAACAAAGACCACAAGGCAAAGAAAGUGAUCGAGACAUCAAGUGAUGAAGAUAGCUCAAGUGAUGAAGACACAGCUAUGUUCAUCAAAACAUUCAAGAAAUUUGUAAGGAAAAAUGACAAGUUCCAAAGGAAAGGAAAGAAGAGGGUAUGCUAUGAAUGUGGACAAACCGGUCAUUUCAUAGCUGUCGGCGUUUCGACCCCGGGGGGGGGGGGGGGGGGGGUCCCUGGAUCGACGAGUAAAUUGUCGCCGCGUGUCCCAGCCCAGAUGGGUCGGCGUGAGACGGAGCACGAAGGGGGGAAGAAACAGACAAAGGGGAAACCCGAGGCCUUCGUGUUGCCCUGCGCCCAGGUCGGGUGCGCUUGCAGUAGGGGGUUACAAGCGUUCGCGUGGGAGAGCCUUACGCGUCAGCCCGUUCUCCCGCGCGGCCAACCUUCUCGUAUGAGAGCCCUGGACCUUCCUUUUAUAGGCGUAAGGAGAAGAUCCAGGUGUACAAUGGGGGGUGUAGCAGUGUGCUAACGUGUCUAGCAGAGAGGAGCUAGAGCCCUGAAAGUCGCCUAGAGGGGGGGUGGAUAGGCGAAACCUGAAAAUUAAAACUUUAUCCCCAACUAGAUCCCUUGAUUAGUGGUUAGAACAAGAUAUAUAAUUAUCGGAGUAUAAAAACUAAGUCCUUGCUUGUAAAGAGUAUUGCUUUCAAAUAAUGCGGAAUUGAUAAAUCAAUACUAGUAAUAAGUCUAUGAGAAUAAAUCACAAGGGCUUAGAUAAGAAGAGUAAUGCUACGAGUUCUUUCUUGCAAUGUGUUGCCUCACUAAAUGAGAAUUUAACUUAAGGCAACACCAAAUAAGGUUAGCAAAGAAUAGUGCAAGGAAAAACCUAGAGUGAGGGAAAACAAAUAAAUCACAAGCAAUAAACACAAUGGACACGGGUGAUUUGUUUUACCGAGGUUCGGCCCUCGAAGGCCUAGUCCCCGUUGAGGAGUCCACUUAAGGACGGGUCUUUUUCAACCCUUUCCCUCUCUCCACCGAUCACCCAAGGAUCGGCGAGCUCUUCUUCUUCUCAAGGAUCACUCUUGAUCCCACAAGGACCACCACACUCUUUGGUGUCUCUUGCUAGCUUUUACAAGCCUCCAAAACUUUGGAGGAAGUUCGAUGGGAGUCAAAACUCCACGCGCAAAUGAACACAAAGAUGUAGCACACACUAUCUCUCAAGGAAUCUCACAAGGCACUAGGGCUAAACUCAAUUGAGUAGCUCUCAAUUGCUUGCUCUCUCUUUUGUGGCACUUGUGUUGGUUGUAGUGGUCUAAAUCUUGUGUAUAGGAUGGAUCAAUGAAUAUAUGUGGUUGGGAGGGCUUGAGUAUGUCAACUAGAUGACUUGGAAUGUUGUUUGGGCUCCCACACCUUGAAGUGGUCGGUUGGGGUGGUAUUUAUAGCCCUCAACCACCCAUAUAGCCGUUGGGGCGCAUCUGCCAGAAAUUGCACUGGCGGACGGUCCGCGGCUAGGGCCCGGACGGUCCGCGACCCUCCAAUGGUCGAUUCUGACAUCUUCAACGGAUACUUCUGACAGAUCAACGGUUAGAUCAACGGCUAUCUGCCUUGGUGACACCACGCGGACGGUCCGCCCUUGGUCCCAGACGGUCCGCGCCAGCUAUAUAAUUCCUUUUGCUCAACUUGUCACCUUCGGGCUUUUUGGUUCUGCACCGACCAGACGGUCCGCGCCUGAGGCCGGACGGUCCGCGCUUGGCCUCGGACGGAGCUUGCUUUUUCAUCGGACGAUCCGUAGUAGAGAUAUGUGUUUUUGCAUUGGUUCUGUCCGAGGAUCAUCCUGGUGUCGCGGACGGUCCGCCGCAGGGGCCCAGACGGUCCGCGCAUAGUCUGUUUUUCCAAAAAGCUUCUCCUGUCCGGAAUAAUCUACGGUAUUCCGGACAGUCGAUUUAGAAUAGUUGUAGAUGAACCUUUGACACCUGUAGAACAUAUAAUCUAGAGCAAACUAGUUAGUCCAAUUAUUUGUGUUGGGCAAUUCAAUCACCAAAAUCAUUUAGGAAAAGGUUUGACCCUAUUUCCCUUUCAAUCUCCCCCUUUUUGGUGAUUGAUGCCAACACAAACCAAAGCAAAUAUAUAAGUGCAGAAUUGAACUAGUUUGCAUAAGGUAAGUGCAAAUGUUACUUGGAAUUAGACCAAUUUACAUUUAAUGUUUUAGACCAUGCUUGCACCAAUUGUUUUGUUUUUGCAAACUCUUUAGGAAAUUCUUUUCAAAGUCCUUUUGCAAAUAGUCAAAGGUAAAUGAAUAAGAUUUUGAGAAGCAUUUUCAAGAUUUGAAAUUUUCUUCCCUUGUUUCAAAUGCCUUUCCUUUGACUAAACAAAACUCCCCCUCAAAUAAAUUCUCCUCUUAGUGUUCAAGAUAGUGUUCAAGAGGGUUUUAAGAUAUCAAUUUUGAAAGGGCUACUUUCUCCCCCUUUAGAACACAAAGAGAUACCAAUUUGAAAUUUACCAAUUGAAAAUCAUUAGUUUUAAAAAUAGGGUGGUGGUGCGGUCUUUUUGCUUUGGGCUCAUACUUUCUCCCCCUUUGGCAUGAAUCGCCAAAAACGGAUACUUUGAGUGAGAUAUAAGCCCUUUUCUUUCUCUCCCCCUUUGGCAAACAAUUGAAAUAUUCAAUUUAAAUAGUGAUAUGAGUGAAGAUUAUACCAAAGAGGAGAACUAUGCGGAAUGCUGAUAAAGAGUGGAUAAUACGAUGGAGUUGAGUGGAAGCGUCGUUUUUGCCGAAUAUUCCAUUUCCCUUUCAAUUCUAUGACUAAGCAUGAGAAUACACUUGAAAACACAUUAGUCAUAGAUAUAAAAGAGAUAUGAUCAAAAGGAUAUACCAAAUUAAGCAUGAUCAUACUUCUAUAUAACAUAGAUUUGCUCUCCCUAAAUAUAUGCAUGGAGUGGAAACACAUAUUUUGGCCUUAAAUGCCAAUUGCACAUAAUUAGGUUAAUGAGAACAUAUCUAUAUCAUAUGGAAUGUGAAGUGCAUUGUGUCAUAGUAUAAGUGUGAUGCUCAUGACAGUUUAUGCACUUAUGAAAGCAUGUUGUAAACAUUUCAAGCAUUUUCCCUUAAGGUUUUCAAAGAGGCUUAAGGACCAUCCACCUUUGGAAUAAAGGCAACUUAUCCUCGUUACAAGGUUAAGCUUUAAGCUCUUUGACAAUUAAAUCACUUCAUCUAGUUUCAACAAAGAUGCAUUAAAGCAUGAAUGAAUUAUUUGAGAGGUUAAACUAGAUAUGAAGCAGGUAUAACGCAAAGGACAUGCUUUCUCUUCCUUCUAUCUAAGAUAUGCAAAGAAUGCUUAUAAGAGGAAGAUUUGGGUACAUGUUUGAAUGAAAGGAAGUAGUUUUACCGUUUUGUUCCUUCGCAUAGAGACGCUCUCUUCAUUGUGCUUUGUCCUUAGUCUUAGAUGCUUAAGACCUAUUCUUAAUGACAAUAUAUGGAAAUAUUUUGCACAAGAGAGAGUUCUACAACUAGUGAUCUUUUCAAGUUAUUGUUAGCAUAUAUCAAACGGAUCACAAGUUGCAUAAAUGUAUCAUGAAUUCUCCUUUUAACUUAGUGCAUAUCAAGAUAGAUGUUGAUUGAAAUUACCAAUUGAAAUCAAAUUGAAAUUACAUGAGACACUAAGAAGCACAAGUGAUAAUUGAAGUUAUUCAAUGAUCAAACAACAAAUGCGAUCAAAAGAACAACAUAGGCAUUAGAUUUGCAAUCAAGCUCAAAAAUAGGAGAAUCCAAUAAAUAUGCUACUUUAGCAAUGAAAACUACAAUCCUUGAUGAAGAUGACAUCACUUUAACAAGAUGGAUUAAUUUGAAGUAGCAUACUUUAUGAGAAACUUAAUCUCAUGCAAGAGACUCUAUGAAAUUACUAAGAUAAAGUGACAGUCUCAUCGCAAUCAAGAUGUAGAUAGAGUCUCCCCCUAGAGAUAUGCAUCAAGUAUUUGAAUGAAUGGAUGCAUUUACUUUAAGGACAAAUAGAGAGAAGCAUUAUACAUCUUGAUCAAGGCUCAUUAAAUUUGCAAUAAACAACUUGAGCCUAGUAUUCUCAUUAUGAAAGGAUUUAGAAUACUUACAACCACACCAUUGAUUGUUUCGUAGAAGUAGGUGGUGUUUCACUUAAUGUCUUUCUCUUUCAUGUGAGUGUCCUCCCUUUGUAGUUGUUCCUUUUUCCUUCCAAACUUAUUGAAUAUACUCAAGAAAGAUGUUAAUAGCACAAGGGAGUAAAUGAUGAAUGAUGGUUUCUUUAGAUAGAAGAUAAGAACAAUUCAUCAUCCAUAAGUCACAUAGACAUGAAGUAAAUUUCUUAACAUUAGUGCACAUCAAAAGAAAUAUGCACUCUCUAAACAUUUUGAUCAAUCACAGGAAAUUUUCUUCUUCAUAUUGAAUUUAUUAAUCAUCACUUGGAGGCAAGUCAAUAUGAGAACAUAUAUAGCAAAGGCAUGAAAUAGAUUCUAACGGAUAAGUGCAUUUUUAAGAAUGAGAUUGAAUGCACAUCUAGCCGACUUUGGUUUAAUACAUAAUCUAUCCUUCACAAAGGUAGAAUAUGAUAAAUUAGAGUAAGCAACCAUUGAUGGGAACUAUAUUUGAUUGAGAAGAUGAGUUCUCAUACCUUUGCUUUACCUUCCUUCCUAUGGGUGAAGAGCAACCCUUUGAGGCUUUAAACUUGCACUCACUCUCUUGUAGAUUUCAUAAGUGAGCUCAAGAGAAAUGUUAAUAGCAACACAAGCACUAGUUUCCCUUUGAGUAAUCAUUUUGAUAAGGAAUGGAAAAUAGAUUACUAAAGCAUGGAAACUUUAUAAUAUGAACUAGGCUAUUCCAUGAUGCAUGCUUAGUUUUUGCUUACAAAACAAGCAUAGAUAAUUCUUUUAAGAUUAUGGGAAUAAAUCUAAUUCAUAACAUGGAGAGCGAUAGAUGAAGAAGAAUCAUAUCCAAUAUAAGCAGGAAGCAAAAACAACAUAAUCAUUGGAUUGACUUUUCCUUUUAUGUUAAAUUACGCAUCUCCACAAAGAAACAUACUAAUGAGACUACAUGGGUUACUUAGAUACAAGCAUUAGUCUCACUAUUCUAGUUAUAGAGAGAAUGUUCCUUUUGUAGAUGUCGUAGGGAUUUGAAUUCCUUACAUGACAUCUUAUUCUUUUAGGAACUUGGAACAUCUUUCUAUAUCUAGAAUCAUGGCAAUAAUAGGAUAAUAAGUGUAAAACAUGCCAUGAGUUACUUAAUAUUGUAAAACAUGUAGAUUGCCAUAGUAUAGGAAUGAUGAAUAUACAAUCUACCAUAUGAGAGGAACUUCUUCAAAGAAUGGUGAUAUAAUUUUAAAGAUACUUGAAGUGCUUUAUUUUUUCUAUGUGACUACAUAAGACACAUAAGAAAUGGUAUUCUAAAAUACUUGCACAUAAAAGCAUAAAUGUUACCAUCCUUUGGCUUUCCUCCAUGUUGUAGGUCUUGACUUUUCGGCAUAGGAUUAAUUCUUUAUUUCCUUCAACAUUAAUAUCUUCCCGAGAUGAUAUGAGUUUUAGACAUAAUAAUUUGAAAUAACCUUGGGUCAAUCUUGGAUAUGUAGAUCACUGUAGAUUGAUAGCUUGAGUUAAUAAAAAUUGAAUUGACUCUCUCAAGCAUCCCAAAGCUUCAUACCAUCUCCAUCUCCUGCAAAGCUUGUCAAGCAUGUUUUGGUACCCAUCUCUUGAUGGGUCCAUUAUGGUUAGUUAACAAAGAUCUAGGAACCCAAAUGUCCUUUGCGAUAGCGUUUGACAAAUUCAUUGCCUUUCUAGCACAAGUUGCAAUUUUGGGUUGCCUAGUUAUAUAUGAAUCAAAUGACAAGCUAUGAGUUGAGGAGUUACCAAUGGGACAAUCAUUGCAUUGAUGUCCCUUCCUUCGGCAUGUGUAGCAUAGGCGUUUUCCAAGUUUUGAAGAUUUCUUCUUUCCUUGUUUGUUGCUUGCUACAUGGUUAGUAAAAACUUUCUUUUCUAACCCUAUGCCUUUUUGUUUCAAAUGGGGACAAGAUUUAAUAAAGUGUCCCUUCUUUGAACAUUUAAAACAGAGUUUAUCAUCCUUGUUAAUAAUCAAGCCAUUUUUAAUAUAGGGACAUGAUCUAAUCAAAUGCCCCUUUUCAAAGCAUUCACUACACCUCUUAUUUCUAUUUGUAAGAAGUGUGACUUGAUUAUUACCUUGGAUGUUACCUUUUAUGGAGGCAUGGUUGAGGCUUUUGGAGGCGGUAUUGAUUUUCUUCUUUUGCUUCCUCCUCUUGGCAAUCCUCAAGUCCUUGACAUUUUCUUCAAGAGAUUUAGUGCACGCCACGGUUGUUCCCGUCUCAAGCUUCUUCACCAUGUGAUCACGGUUAUCUUGAGAAGGUUGAGCAAUGCAUUUCCCUUUUAGUUGUGUCAAGCUUAAUUUUAGCCUCUCAUUUUCUUCUUUGAGCUUUUGAUAUGUAUCAUCGUUUGCUCCUGCAGAUUCUAGCUCAAAAGAAGAUUUGCUUGUCGACGGACAACAAGCAUUAGCACAUGGUAAUGUAGCUUCAAUUUGAACACAUGUGCAAGAGUGAGGUUGUUGGGAUUUUAAGUUUUCUAUCACAACCUCAUGAGUAAUAUUCAACAUGAUAUGAUCAUCCAUAAGAUUUUCAUGAGAGCAUAAGAGCAUAUCAUAUUUUUCUUGAAAAGCUAGAUUUUCAACUUUUAGCUUUUCUACUUGGUCCUUAAGCAAGGUAUUACUAUUUACUAAUUGAGUGAUACAAUGUAAAGAGUUAUCUUGCUCAAUUGAAAUAGUUUCAUACCUUUGGACCAAAUUAACAUGAGAGCACUUUAGCUCCUCAUGUUCUUUAGUCAACUCGUCAAAGUAUUGCAUUUUGAUGGAGAGAAUAUCUUCUAGCAUUUGACGAGCUUUGCUUUCCUCUUUUGCUCUUUCUAGAAGUUUGAGCAUGACCGCCUUAUCUUCUUGGCUUAGGCGAGCGUAGAGUUGCACGGAGCUUCCUUCUUCCUUCUCACCCUCAUUUGUGCUUCCGCUAUCAUUUUCAUUAGCCACACAACACAUGUGGGAAUUGAAAUGGGAAGACAAACCUUUUGGAGAGGUGGAUUCAUCGUUUGGUCUCCAUCGGUUAUUUUCUUCUUCUUCCUUGCAAGGGUUAGUAUCACAAAUACCAACGGAAGUAGAAGCACAAAAGGAACUAUCAUGUUUGGACUUAUCAAAUUUAGUUUUAAUUCUAGUCCAAAUACCAUGCACAUCACAAAUAGGUUUAUCAUAUUUUAUUAUGAAGGCAUGAUAAUCUUCUUUGUUAAGGGAUUUACUUAAGAUGUCAUAAGCUAGAUAGUUUAAGUGAAUACAUCUUAAAUCUUCUUCGGAGGCAUUUUCCCUAGCAUAGUUAGGAGGAAUAAUACUCUUGUCUAAAAUUUGUUCUAAUUGAGGAUCUACGAUUCUAAAGGCAUUUAUCACUCUAGUAGACCAUGAAUCAUAAUUAGAACAAUCGGAAAGCAAUAUCUCAAGAAUUACCUCCUUCGGAGUUGUCUUCUUGUUCUUUUGGGAUCUUCUACGAGCCAUCACUUCGAGUUGUUAGACUCAAUAUGAAGUGCCUAGCUCUGAUACCAAUUGAAAGUCGCCUAGAGGGGGGGUGGAUAGGCGAAACCUGAAAAUUAAAACUUUAUCCCCAACUAGAUCCCUUGAUUAGUGGUUAGAACAAGAUAUAUAAUUAUCGGAGUAUAAAAACUAAGUCCUUGCUUGUAAAGAGUAUUGCUUUCAAAUAAUGCGGAAUUGAUAAAUCAAUACUACUAAUAAGUCUAUGAGAAUAAAUCACAAGGGCUUAGAUAAGAAGAGUAAUGCUACGAGUUCUUUCUUGCAAUGUGUUGCCUCACUAAAUGAGAAUUUAACUUAAGGCAACACCAAAUAAGGUUAGCAAAGAAUAGUGCAAGGAAAAACCUAGAGUGAGGGAAAACAAACAAAUCACAAGCAAUAAACACAAUGGACACGGGUGAUUUGUUUUACCGAGGUUCGGCCCUCGAAGGCCUAGUCCCCGUUGAGGAGUCCACUUAAGGACGGGUCUUUUUCAACCCUUUCCCUCUCUCCACCGAUCACCCAAGGAUCGGCGAGCUCUUCUUCUUCUCAAGGAUCACUCUUGAUCCCACAAGGACCACCACACUCUUUGGUGUCUCUUGCUAGCUUUUACAAGCCUCCAAAACUUUGGGGGAAGUUCGAUGGGAGUCAAAACUCCACGCGCAAAUGAACACAAAGAUGUAGCACACACUAUCUCUCAAGGAAUCUCACAAGGCACUAGGGCUAAAUUCAAUUGAGUAGCUCUCAAUUGCUUGCUCUCUCUUUUGUGGCACUUGUGUUGGUUGUAGUGGUCUAAAUCUUGUGUAUAGGAUGGAUCAAUGAAUAUAUGUGGUUGGGAGGGCUUGAGUAUGUCAACUAGAUGACUUGGAAUGUUGUUUGGGCUCCCACACCUUGAAGUGGUCGGUUGGGGUGGUAUUUAUAGCCCUCAACCACCCAUAUAGCCGUUGGGGCGCAUCUGCCAGAAAUUGCACUGGCGGACGGUCCGCGGCUAGGGCCCGGACGGUCCGCGACCCUCCAACGGUCGAUUCUGACAUCUUCAACGGAUACUUCUGACAGAUCAACGGUUAGAUCAACGGCUAUCUGCCUUGGUGACACCACGCGAACGGUCCGCCCUUGGUCCCGGACGGUCCACGCCAGCUAUAUAAUUCCUUUUGCUCAACUUGUCACCUUCGGGCUUUUUGGUUCUGCACCGACCGAACGGUCCGCGCCUGAGGCCGGACGGUCCGCGCUUGGCCUCGGACAGAGCUUGCUUUUUCAUCGGACGAUCCGUAGUAGAGAUAUGUGUUUUUGCAUUGGUUCUGUCCGAGGAUCAUCCUGGUGUCGCGGACGGUCCGCCGCAGGGGCCCAGACGGUCCGCGCAUAGUCUGUUUUUCCAAAAAGCUUCUCCUGUCCGGAAUAAUCUACGGUAUUCCGGACAGUCGAUUUAGAAUAGUUGUAGAUGAACCUUUGACACCUGUAGAACAUAUAAUCUAGAGCAAACUAGUUAGUCCAAUUAUUUGUGUUGGGCAAUUCAAUCACCAAAAUCAUUUAGGAAAAGGUUUGACCCUAUUUCCCUUUCAAGCCCUAAGUACAUGCCGUCGUGGCAGUCGGAGAGGUUUUGGCACCCUGUUCAUGUGAUGUCGUGGCCGUCGGAGGAGAGCUGGAGCCGUGCGGAAGGACAGCUGUCGGGGCUGUCGAAUCCUUGCUGACGUCUCCUUGCUUCCGUAAGGGGCUGAGCGCCGCCGUCGUCAUGGGGCACGCGGGGCACCAUCAUUAUUUGUUUAUCGGGGCAAGCCAGAUGGGACGCCGGUCUUGUUCCCCGUAGCCUGAGCUAGCUAGGGGUAGGGUAAUGAUGGGCCCCCUGUGACGUGGUCGGUCCAAGCCCUAGGUCGGGCAAGGUGGAGGCUCCUCCGAGGUCGAGGUCGAGUCCGUCUUCCGGAGUCGAGGCUGAGUCCGACCCCUGGGGUCGGGCGAGGCGGAGUCCGUCUUCCGAGGUCGAGGUCGAGUCCGAGCCCUAGGGUCGAGGCUGAGUCCGACCCCUGGGGUCAGGCGAGGCGUAGUCCGUCUUCCGAGGUCGAGGUCGAGUCCGAGCCCUGGGGUCGGGCGAGGCGGAGACCGUCUUCCGAGGCUGAGGCUGUGUCCGAGCCCUGGGGUCGGGCGAGGCGGAGUUCGUCGUCUUCCGGAGCCGAGGCUGAGGCCGAACCCUGGGGUCGGGCGAGGUGGAGCUUCCUAUGUCGCCUGAGGCUGGACUUAGCUGCUGUCAGUCUCACUCUGUCGAGUGGCACAGCAGUCGGAGCGACACAAGCGGUGCUGUUUCCUUGCCAGGUCGGUCAGUGGAGCGGCGAAGUGACCGCGGUCACUUCGGCUCUGUCGACUGAAGAGCGCGCGUCAGGAUAAGGUGUCAGGCGAUCCUUGCAUUAAAUGCUCCUGCGAUACGGUCGGUUGGUGUGGCGAUCUGGCCAAUGUUGCUUCUCUGCGAAGACUGGGCCUCGGGCGAGCUGAAGGUGUGUCCGUUGCUUGAGGGGGCCCUCGGGCGAGACGUGAAUCCUCCGGGGUCGGCUGCCUUUGCCCGAGGCUGGGCUCGGGCGAGGCGAGAUCGUGUCCCUUGAGUGGACUGAGCCUUGACCUUAAUCGCGCCCAUCAGGCCUUUGCAGCUUCAUGCUGAUGGGGGUUACCAGCUGAGAUUAGGAGUCUUGGGGGUACCCCUAAUUAUGGUCCCCGACAGUAGCCCCCGAGCCUCGAAGGGAGUGUUGAUACUCGCUUGGAGGCUUUUGUCGCACUUUUUUGCAAGGGGACCGGCCUUUCUCGGUUGCAUUUCGUUCCGGUGGGUGCGCACGAGCGCACCCGCCGGGUGUAGCCCCCGAGGCCUCGGAGGAGUGGUUUGACUCCUUCGAGGUCUUAGCGCAUUUCGUGAUGCUUCGGCCGGUCUGGUUGUUCCCUCAUGCGAACUGGCCGUAGCCCGGGUGCAUAGUCGAAUCCCAAGUUCUCGGGCUGGUAUGUUGACGCUGUCAAUGGUUUGGCUGGAGCCGGGUUUGCGAGAGCAGCCCCCGAGCCUCUGCACAGAGCGAGAGGACGGUCAAGGACAGACUUGGCUUUUUUUCAUAUGCCCCUGUGUCGCCUUUCCGCAAGGAGGAGGGGGGAAAGCGCCAUGUUGCCCUCGGAGGGCGCCGAACAUGGUGUCUCCAGUGAGUUGCUAACGGGUAAUCCGAGUGGACGCCCGUGCCCCAUUCGUUAGGGGUCGGCUAGUGGCCCGGAGGCGCGCUCCAAAAGUACCUGCGGGUGAUUCGCCGGACCCGGUCCCCUUUUGAUGGGUCCGAUGGCUCGAUGCCUCCCUCUGGUGGGAUUCCGUUACAAAAUCGUUCCCGUCGGUCUCGGAAAUGUCCUAGGGUACCUCGGGAGCGUAGCCCGAGCCUUGGUUAUGUAUCGAACGUACCUAGGGUCAUCCCUCGCUCUGCGUGCUCUGAGGCGGCUGUCAAACCCUUCGGGGGCCAGCCUACGAACCCCUGAUCAGUAGUGGGCGCGGAGCCCGAGUGGCCUGAGGCGGCCGUUGAACCCUUCCGAGGAGCCAGCCUUCGAACCUCUGACCAGUAGUGGGCGCAGAGCCCGAGUGCUCUGAGGCGGCUGUUGAACCCUUCCGAGGGGCCAGCCUUCGAACCUCUGAUCAGUAGGGGGGCUCGGGGCCCGCUUCCUUCGCGGAGAAGGAUCCUUUUCGGAGUAUCCCCUUUCCCGGUCCCUGUAGCAAGAGAGAGAAAGAGGAAGUGGAAAAGGAUACGAAAUCGAAUGACGUGGCACACCUUUUUUGACGCGGUCAUCAUGGCAGAGGUGAAGCGUCGCCUGCUUUGCCUACCAAAGGUGCCGCCUGCC